CGGGCAAGGCCCCCUUUGAAAUUCUGUAUGGCAGGAAGUGCCGUACCCCUCUCAACUGGUCUGAAACCGGUGAACGUCAGCUGCUGGGUAAUGACUUAAUCACAGAAGCAGAAGAUAUGUGCAAAGUCAUUCGUGAUAACCUCAAAGCAGCCCAGUCCCGCCAGAAGAGCUACUAUGAUAGUAAGCACCAUGAUCUGGCUUUCGAGAUCGGAGAUCAUGUUUACCUCCGCGUCUCUCCCAUGAAAGGUACUCGUCGCUUCGGUAUCAAAGGGAAGCUUGCCCCUAGAUAUGUGGGACCUUUCAAGAUUGUCAGCAAGAGAGGCGACCUCGCCUAUCAACUCGAGCUUCCUUCAAACUUUGCAAAUGUUCAUGAUGUGUUCCAUGUCUCUCAGCUUCGAAAGUGCUUCAGGACUCCUGACCGCACCGUCAACUUCGAGGACAUUGAGCUCCAAGAAGAUCUCUCCUAUCGUGAGCACCCAGUUGCUAUUCUUGAAGAGACUGAACGCAAGACUUGCAACAAGUCAAUCAGAUUUCUCAAAGUUAAGUGGUCUCACCAUUCCGAUCGUGCAGCCACCUGGGAACGCGAGGAUCACCUCCGUUCUGAGUACCCGGAGUUCUUUCAGUCCUAGAUCUCGGGACGAGAUCUUUUCGUAGUGGUGGAGUGUUGUAACGCCCCAGAUAUACUUUCCAUAUUUGUAUCCAACUCUUGCCGUCUCCGGCGCUAAGUUAUAUUUAUUUCUCAGGUUUGGGUCUUUGUCUCCGUGUGUUGUUUUUCUUUUUCGUGCAUCUCUUAUCAUGUCAUCACGUGCAUUGCAUUUGCAUACAUGUUCAUCUCAUGCAUUCGAGCAUUUUCCCCGUUGUCCGUUUUGCAUUCUGGCGCUUCGUUCUCCUCCGGUGGUCAUUUCUAGUCUUCUUUCGUGUGUGGGGUUUAAACAUUUCCGGAUUGGACCGAGACUUGCCAAGCGGCCUUGGUUUACUACCGGUAGACCGCCUGUCAAGUUUCGGGUCAUUUGGACUUCGUUUGAUACUCCAACGGUUAAACGAGGGACCGAAAAGGCCUCGUGUGUGUUGGAGCCCAACACCCCCCAAAUUUGGCCCAAAACCCACCAAACUCUGCUCCAUGUCCUAUAGCGUUCGAUCACGAUCGUGUGGGCGAAAACCGCACCUCAUUUGGACUCUCCUAGCUCCCUCUAUGCCUAUUAAUACCCCCUCCAUUCGGAUCUCUUCUUCCCCCGUCCGAAACCCUAGUUUUUUAAAAAAAGAUCUCCACCGACGGACGUGUCCGCCCCCGGCCGGACAACGUCCGCCGCCAACCCCGCCAGUCGCUGCGCGCCACGUGUCCCUCGCCGCCGCCGCCGCCGUCCCGGCCCGGGAGGCCCAGGAGGGGCCCCNNNNNNNNNNNNNNNNNNNNNNNNNNNNNNNNNNNNNNNNNNNNNNNNNNNNNNNNNNNNNNNNNNNNNNNNNNNNNNNNNNNNNNNNNNNNNNNNNNNNNNNNNNNNNNNNNNNNNNNNNNNNNNNNNNNNNNNNNNNNNNNNNNNNNNNNNNNNNNNNNNNNNNNNNNNNNNNNNNNNNNNNNNNNNNNNNNNNNNNNNNNNNNNNNNNNNNNNNNNNNNNNNNNNNNNNNNNNNNNNNNNNNNNNNNNNNNNNNNNNNNNNNNNNNNNNNNNNNNNNNNNNNNNNNNNNNNNNNNNNNNNNNNNNNNNNNNNNNNNNNNNNNNNNNNNNNNNNNNNNNNNNNNNNNNNNNNNNNNNNNNNNNNNNNNNNNNNNNNNNNNNNNNNNNNNNNNNNNNNNNNNNNNNNNNNNNNNNNNNNNNNNNNNNNNNNNNNNNNNNNNNNNNNNNNNNNNNNNNNNNNNNNNNNNNNNNNNNNNNNNNNNNNNNNNNNNNNNNNNNNNNNNNNNNNNNNNNNNNNNNNNNNNNNNNNNNNNNNNNNNNNNNNNNNNNNNNNNNNNNNNNNNNNNNNNNNNNNNNNNNNNNNNNNNNNNNNNNNNNNNNNNNNNNNNNNNNNNNNNNNNNNNNNNNNNNNNNNNNNNNNNNNNNNNNNNNNNNNNNNNNNNNNNNNNNNNNNNNNNNNNNNNNNNNNNNNNNNNNNNNNNNNNNNNNNNNNNNNNNNNNNNNNNNNNNNNNNNNNNNNNNNNNNNNNNNNNNNNNNNNNNNNNNNNNNNNNNNNNNNNNNNNNNNNNNNNNNNNNNNNNNNNNNNNNNNNNNNNNNNNNNNNNNNNNNNNNNNNNNNNNNNNNNNNNNNNNNNNNNNNNNNNNNNNNNNNNNNNNNNNNNNNNNNNNNNNNNNNNNNNNNNNNNNNNNNNNNNNNNNNNNNNNNNNNNNNNNNNNNNNNNNNNNNNNNNNNNNNNNNNNNNNNNNNNNNNNNNNNNNNNNNGCGGCCGGCCCCGCCGGCCACCUCGCCGCCCCUCGACGCCGGCCACCGCCUCCCCCUACGCCGGCGGCCUCGGAUCCGGCGCCGACGAACCUCGUCGCGCGCGCCCAGCUACAGUGCCCGAUCCGGCUACAGUAAACCCUAGAUCUAGGUUGACUUUCCCUCUUCCCCCUUAUUUUUUUUGCUAUCUUUGACUGCUUGUAUCUCCACAACCGUUGCUCCGUUUUGGGCAUACGAUAUAUCAAAAUCUUCGCCUCGACAUGUACAUCAUUUCAUUCCAUUGCAUCAUUUGCAUUUGAGGUCAUCUUGACGCCCAAAAUGCUGUUAGAAGGAGGCUUCGUGAGUUAAAUUGCAGAUCCGUUAGUUCAUCAUGCACUUUUGUCAUUUUUGCCAUGUUUAAUUCGUGCAUGAUAUGCCUGUGCCCCUUUGGGAUGAAUUGUUAAGCAUUUUGUCUUCUUUCCAGUGGUGCCACCCAUGCAUUUUUAGGAUGUGUGUGUUGUCUUGUGCAAGCUUGUGAAGAGAGGUACCUGAGAUUGCUGAUUUCAGAGACUUAGUGAUUUUCUGGGAUAUUUUAGUUCAUGAUGCUAUAUGUCCAGCUUGUUUCCUAGUGAUCCGUGCCUCUUUUGAGGAUGAUCAGUAAGGGAGUUUUGAUAUUUAUGUUAUGCUCUAUCCAUCCAUGUCUUUGUUUGCAUAUGUGGAGUGCUCUAGGUUGACUCAAUCGAGCUCAACUUUUGCUUCGUUGUUAACCUGGGCAGAUCGUCAACUUGUUUGCGAUUUUGCCGAUGCUACCGUUAGUGUUCCAUGCAUGCUAUGCCUUCGUUCUUGCCAUGUGUAGCUAGCACAUUGUGCCUUCUUGCUGGUUAUAUGCUUUCCUUGCCAUGACUUGCACCGUAGUGAGUGCAUCAAGCUCGUUUUCAUGCCUUCGUGAGUUAUAUUUCAGCGUGUCUCAGUUUUCACUAAGUCUGAAAACUGAUUGUGUUCGAGCUAUGUUCGUGAGCUCGGUAGAGUAUUUUGUGAACCCUUUUGGCCCCAGGUCACUUUGGGUGUUUUGUUAAGCUUGUUGAGUAGCUCCAUGCCAUCUUCUUACUUGUCAUGUUCAGGUUUUCUAUCAUGUUGUUUUGCUGCUCCGAAGAGAGCAUCAUGAUCUGAAAUUUCAGACUAGUGUUAAUUUCACUAAGUCUGGAAUCUGUUUUGCAUUUGCGUUUUAGCCAUGCUUGUUUGAACCUCUUAAUGGAUGAAUUUGCCUAUGGCUCAGUGCUAGUGUUUUGUCAACCAUCUUGAGUACAUCACUGCCAUGUAUUUUGUUUUCAUGAUUGGUGGCUGUAGCAUGUUCAUUUCGUUGCAUUUAGAUGCCUACUUGCUGCAAAUCGCAGACCGGUGUCGUAUCUUAAAACGCUUGCCAUUUCCAAACCGUAGCUCCGAUUCCAAUGAUCUUUAUAUCGUUUUCAAUCAAUUUCAUCCCCUCUAUCCAGUGGCACACUUGGUUUUCCAAGUUGAUGCCAGGUUCAUGCAUUUCCUGUCAUAUCUUGCAUUUUGCAUCCCGCAUCGCAUCCCGCAUAGCAUAUCGUCAUUUCAUCAUAUUGCUUGGACUUGCCCGUGGUUGAUUGUAUCCUUGUUGCUUGUUUGUCUUGUUGGGUAGAGCCGGGAGACGAGUUCGCUACCGAGGAGCCCGUUGAGUUUGCUUGUGAGGAUCCAGUCAACUCUGACAACUGUGCAGGCAAGAUGAUCAUACCCUCGAAAUCACUACUAUCUUUGCUAUGCUAGUUUGCUCGCUCUUUUGCUUGCCACUGCUACGAUGCCUACCAUUUGCUUGUCAGCCUCCCAAUUGCAUGAUUGAACCUCUAACCCACCAUUGUCCUAGCAAACCGUUGAUUGGCUAUGUUACCGCUUUGCUCAGCCCUUCUUAUAGCGUUGUUAGUUGCAGGUGAAGAUUGGAGCCGUUCCUUGUUGGAACAUUUAUUUUACUUGUUGGGAUAUCAUUAUAUUGCUAUGUUAUCUUAAUGCAUCUAUAUACUUGGUAAAGGGUGGAAGGCUCGGCCUCUCGCCUAGUGUUUUGUUCCACUCUUGCCGCCCUAGUUUCCGUCAUAUCGGUGUCAUGUUCCCGGAUUGUUGCGUCCCUUACACGGUUGGGCUAUAAUGGGAACCCCUUGAUAGUUCGCCUUGAUUAAAGCUUUUCCAGCAAUGCCCAACAUUGGUUUUACCAUUUGUCACCUAGCCUCUUUUUCCCUUGGGUUUCCGGAGCCCGAGAGUCAUCGUAUUUUAGCCCCCCUGGGCCAGUGCUCCCUCUGAGUGUUGGUCCGAACUGAGCUGCCUGCGGGGCCACCUCGGGGAAACAUGAGGAUUGGUUUUACUCGUAGCUAGUCUCAUCUGAGUGUGCCCUGAGAAAGAGAUAUGUGCAGCUCCUAUCGGGAUUUGUCGGCACAUUCGGGCGGUGUUGCUGGACUUGUUUUAACCUGUCGAAUUGUCUUGUUGUACCGGGUUACCGAGUCUGAUCGGUGUGUCCCGGGUGGAGGUCUAUUCCUUCGUUGACCGUGAGAGCUUGUCAUGGGCUAAGUUGGGACUCCCCUGCAGGGAUUGAACUUUCGAAAGCCGUGCCCGCGGUUAUGGGCAGAUGGGAAUUUGUUAAUGUCCGGUUGUAGAUUACUUGAACUAAACUUAAUUAAAAUGAAUCAACCGUGUGUGUUACCGUGAUGGCCCCUUCUCAGCGGAGUCUGGGAAGUGGACACGGUGUUGGAGUUAUGCUUGCGCAGGAUGUUCCUUUAGCUUCUCGCUCGUGCUUCGCCUUCUCUUCUCGCUCUCUUUCGCGUAUAAGUUAGCCACCACAUAUGCUAGUCGCUUGCUGCAGAACCACAUAUAUUUGCCUUAUCCAUUCCUAUGAGCUUAAAUAGUUUUUAUCGCGAGGGUGCGAGAUUGCUGAGUCCCUGUGGCUCACAGAUACUAUAACUCCAGAUGCAGGUCCAGGUGAUUCCGCUCCAGGUGACGAGUACGAGCUCAAGUGGGAGUUCGACGAGGACUCUCAGCGUUAUUAUGUUUCCUUUCCCGAUGAUCAGUAGUGGUGCCUAGUUGGGGAUCGAUUCAGGGCCUUGUCGCAUGUUGGGUUCUUUUCUAUUUUGGCGCCGUAGUCGGGCCAUGAGUGUUUGUUUGAUGGAUGUUAUUUAUGAACUCUGAUGUGACGUGGCGAGUGUAAGCCAACUAUGUUAUCUCCCCCUUUUAUUAUGUAUUACAUGGGAUGUUGUAAUGAUUGCCUAACUUGCGACAUUGCUUUCAAUGCGGUUAUGUCUCUAAGUCGUGCCACGACACGUGGGAGCUAUAGCCGCAUCGAGGGCGUUACAUGAGACCCCCUUUCCUGGCUAAGCGAGUCGAUCUGCUGUUGUUGCCGCUGCAAUUUGAGUGCCAAGUCCGUGUGCGCUGAUUCUAGGCCUUGAAGGCAUUCUGCUUCCUGAUUCCUCUGCUCGUACUCUAGCUUCUUCUUCUUCUCCUCCUCCAUCUUCCUUCUUGCACGACUUCUGUAGUCAGCGUUCCAGUCAGGAAAGCCCUCAUACCACGGAACAACGCCCUUGCCUCGUGUUCUUCCCAGGUUUUCAGGAUUUCCCAGGGCGCGUGUAAGCUCGUCGUUCUCUUUGUUGGGCGUGAACACCCCCUUUCGAGCUUCUUCUAUUGCUUCAACUAACUUACCAUCGGCUCCUUUAAGACAUGCCUUCUUCGAAAUCUGGCUUGUCAUCGGGUCCAACGCACCCCCAUGCGCAUAGAACCAAGUUCUGCACCUGGGGGGCUAGCUCAAUGUAACUGGAGUGACCUGUGCAGCCAGCAUCUCCUACUCAGACUUAUCCCACUUAGGCAUUACCACCGCGUAGCCACUUGGCUCCAGCCUAUGGAAUUCCUCUUUUUUGCAGCAUUGGCCUUGCUUUUUCUGGAUCGUUCCUUAGAUAAUUCUGAUUCCUUGAAUUUCAGGAAAGCGGGCCAGUGUUCUCUUUGCUUCUCUAGUGUUCCCUUGAAUUCUGGAGUCUUUUUUCCUGCUUUGACGUAGUUAUUCCAUACAGUUUUCUUAUGGUUGUUGAAUGCAAUUGUCAUCUUCCUAAGAGCAGCGUCCUUAACUUUCUCCACAUCUGCAGCUGUGAAAUGAUCUGGUAGGGUGAAAUGUUCAAUGAGAUUUUCCCAAAGCGCAGUUUUUGCUCUGUCAUCGACAAAAGUAAGAUCUUGACGGGGCUUUGAUGGCUCUUUCCAUUCCUGAAGGGAGAUCGGGAGUUUGUCCUUCACAAGAACUCCGCACUGAUUAACGAACUUGUUAGCAAUGUUCUUCAGCGCUAUUGGUUCGCCAUUAGUUUUGAUGGCAUCGAUGUUGUACUUUACGCCCUCCUUCAACUUUUUGCCCGGGCCUCGCACUCUGCCUGUAGAAGAUUUGCUCGAUCCGGAGGGCUGAAAGAAGAAAGAUCGAUUCGUUAAUAUAUCUUCAAAUCAUUUAAAACAUGUGAGAUCACCAGAUGCCUGCUUAUAUAAAUAUACCUUGCUUGUCUCUGUUAUUUCAAGAUCAACAUUUUCUUUGCCAAUUUCAAGAUCAACAUUUUCUUCGCCAUCAUAAUCAUAGUCGUUGUCCAUGACUUCAUCAAUUCGGUCACCGCGAUCGAAUAUCAUCUCAUCAUCACCCUCACCGGUAUUGUUUAGAUAUUGGGAGCCGUCCUCUUCUUCAUUUCGAUCAUCUGACCCGCGAGGGGAGCGUAUGAUCUCGAACAGGGCCUCUUCUCCCUCUCUGCUGGUAUUGUCCACCAUAGAUUUUAUUUAACUAAUCCAGAAGAAAUAUAAAACAAUUUAGUAUUCAAAUUACAAUGCAUGCAUGCAAUCAAGAAGGAAAUCCUGAAUCAUAGUACAUAAUAUGCAUCAUCUCGAAUAAUAUAUAAUCUCGAAUACAUCGUCUCAAAUAUUAUAUAUCGAAUACAAAUCGAAUACUACAGAAUAAUCUAGGCCACUCGCGGUUCCUGAGGCGCGGGCGGUGGACACCCAAAGAGAAGGAACCAUCACAAGAUCACAACUCCGGUCAUCUCUCCAAAGAACCUGCCACGUAUUGGAGAACCUGACGUCCAUAGCAGCCAUGUAGCGACGGACGUGCUCGUCCUCCUCCCUGAUAUGGCGACGCACCACCUCCGGUAGGGCCGGCUCCCUCCGCACCGAAAGUGGCCCACGGGAACCCCACCAUAGGAGCUCAGGGUUGACGACGGGACCCGAGGGCUGGUUCCUCACCAAGCGGCGAGCCCCUGAAGGUAGCACCUCCCAGUGCCAGCCCGACGGAGCCCAGUCCCGGACAUGGGUCCUCUGAAGCAGGACGUCGUCGUGAACGGGUCGACGGCGAGGAUGCGGGCCGGGCAUCGUCGAGAACAAAUACUAUACGCCGCAAAAGUAACAAUUUUUAAAUGAUUGGAUUGUGAUUUCUUAUAUGCAAUUCUAAAUUCUAUAAUUAAAUUAUAAGAAACUGAAAACUAACAUUUCUAUAACAAUUUGAAAUUAAUCUAAUUCAUCUAGCUAAAACUAACAUUUCUAAAAUUUCUAACAUUUCUAACAUUUCUAUAUACUAUUUGACAUUACUCUAAUCUAACUAAUUAAUUCAUCUAAAACAUUUGUAUAAAAAACAGAAAAAACUAAAAACUAAAAACAGAAUUGUGUGUGUGUGUGUGUUUGUGUGUGUGCGGGUGUCUGUGUGUGCACCUACGGCGCCGGCGGCGCAGCGGCUUUGACUGGAGGGAGGAGAGGGGCCGGAGAGAGGGGCUCACAGCGUGGGUGAGGUCGAGGCGAUGGUGACGGCGAGGCGAGGGGACAGCGAGGCAGAGGGGAAGGCGAGGCAGACGGUGACGGGUACGAUGACGGGGGCGGCGACGGCGACGGGGACGGUGACGUACAGUGAUGGGGGCUUCGAUGAGGGGCGGCGGCGACGGGGCAGAGGAGAACAAGUAGAGGGAGAGGACGAAACUGAUGAAUUUUUGAAGUGUUACUUAUAUAGGACCACCCCUUUAGUACUGGUUGGAGCCACCAACUGGUACUAAAGGGCUGUUUUGGCCAGGCGAAGCGGCGGGAAGUGCCCCCCCUUUAGUACCGGGUGGUGGCUACAACCGGUACUAAAGACCCCCCUUUAGUACCGGUUCGUUCCACGACCCGGUACUAAAGGGGGUGCGCUGGCACAGGUGCGGUACGGGCAAGUUUAGUCCCACCUCACUAGCCGAGGGGCGCCCGCGCCUGUUUAAAAGCCCCGGCGCGGCUACUCUCUCGAACUCCUCUCUAUAGCAGGCUUCUGGGCCUAACUCUUCUCUCUGCCCUAUGGGCCUACUGGGCCUUGCAGGCCUGCAUCCUGGCCCAACUACAGGUUGGGUUACUAGUCGUAUGAAGGCCGAUGUGGCCCAGUAGGUGGGCUCUUUUUAUUUAGUUUUUGUCUCAAAGAAAAAUUAGUUUUUUUCUUUUCUACUUUACUUAUUUUCAUUUAUUUAUUUCUGAAUAUUUUUUCUUGAGGUACAAAAAAUUACAAACUUUCUGUUAGUGCCAAUUGCUGGUGUCAAAACCGGCGGAUCUCGGGUAGGGAGUCCCGAACUGUGCAUCUAAGGCUAAUGGUAACAGGAGGCUGGGGACACGAUGUUUACCCAGGUUCAGGCCCUCUCGAUGGAGGUAAUACCCUACUUCCUGCUUGAUUGAUCUUGAUGAUAUGAGUAUUACAAGAAUUGAUCUACCACGAGAUCGUAGAGGCUAAACCCUAGAAGCUAGCCUAUGAUUCUGAUUGUUCUCAUCCUACGGACUAAACCCUCCGGUUUAUAUAGACACCGGGGGGGCUAGGGUUACACAGAGUCGGUUACAGAGAAGGAGAUCUAACAUCCGAAUCGCCAAGCUUGCCUUCCACGCAAAAGAGAGUCCCAUCCGGACACGGGACAAAGUCUUCAAUCUUGUAUCUUCAUAGUCCAACAGUCCGGCCAAAGUAUAUAGUCCGGCUGUCCGGAUACCCCCUAAUCCAGGACUCCCUCAGUAGCCCCUGAACCAGGCUUCAAUGACGAUGAGUCCAGCACGCAGAUUGUCUUCGGCAUUGCAAGGCGGGUUCCAUCUCCGAAUACUCCGUAGAGGAUUUUGAACACAAGGAUCGUGCCCGGCUCUACAAAAUAAUUUCCACACACCACCAUAGAGACCACAAUACUUUACAAACCUAAUCUACUGACAAUUUUUCACAGCGUGCCCUCAUGCCGCGGCCUGGUUUAACAUGAACCGUUUUUCUCAGCCUGCCAUGACACGCACUGCAAGGUGGUUUUAUUGGCACGUCUUGUUGAAGCAGAGAUCGUGUCCCCCUUAUCGCGGCAUUCUCAUCAAUAUAGGUGCGAGUAACCCAACUACGCCUGUUGUCAUGACUACUUGUUUUUAGGCAAAUCCCAAACGGUUACACUGAGGACGCUUGACAUUCACCCCCUUUAUAGAGGGGUCGAGGCCUAUCCCUUUCUUCCCACGCUUGCGCCUUUCUGCACCUCGAGUUCCAACACUCGAAGCUCAAGCUUAAGCACUUUGGAUCUUCAAUCAUGUCUGGAUCCAACCUUCAAGGCCGGUGGAUGGCCUCCUCUAUCACAGAGGAAUACAUUGCGAAGCUCAGGGAGGCCAGAUAUCUGACCUCCGACGUCAAGCACAGGCUUCCUGCUCCAGGGCAGGUUAUCCCCACUCCAGAACCCAACGAGAGCGUUGUAUUUUUUCCCACUUCCUCCGAGGCUUAGGCUUUAGUCUUGAUCCCUUCGUGAGAGGGAUCAUGUUCUAUUACGGGCUAGAUUUUCACGAUCUAGCUCUAGAUUCCAUCCUUCACAUCUCAUUGUUUAUCGCCGUGUGCGAAGCCUUCUCCACAUCACCCCACACUUCGGCUUAUGGCUCAAGACCUUCAAUGUAAAGCCGAAGGUGAUCAAGGGGCGACCCGCGGAGUGCGGAGGCACUGCAAUAAGCAGAAACACCAAUGCCCCAUGGCUAGAGGGUUCCUUCCCGGAGGUGUCCGAUUUAUGGCAACGGAGGUGGUUCUACAUCACAGCUCCCCGAGGCACAAAGUGGGCGGUUGCCUCCGCCUUCCGCUCGGGCCCUCUGCCUCAACUGGCGUCGUGGGCCAACGUGGGACUGGACUGGGGGCCUGCUAAUGACGUACCGACAUUGUAGAGCCGCAUUCGGGAGCUUCUUGAGAGGGAUAUUAGUCUUGUCAGAAUAAUUCAGGUAAUGCUAGUUCGGCGGGCCCUGCCGUGCAAACGUCGACCUCUCCGGAUGUGGGAGUUCAACCCAGAAGGUCCGCGAACUAUUCAGCACUUCUUCGGCAUGACGCUCGAAGGGAUGUAUAGGUUAUUCUUCGGACCACGAAUAAAGUGUCCGGAUACCACCAAGAAUGCGGGCCUGAGCUGUAACCGCCUAGAUACCCAAGUAAGUAACCCUGUAACCGAACACUUCAUGUAUAUUUAUCACAACAUUAUUCUAAAAACUGUUUGCGGCCAGGAUUGGCUCAGCAAGGCGGAGAGGAUCAGAUGUCCGGCCCCACUUCCCGAAGGCUCGCCUAAUCCUACGAUAGCCAGGAUGCUUAGAGGUGCGCUAAAUUAAGUGCCCCCGGGGAAAGAUGAAGGGAAGAAUAGAGAAGCCGAGCUUCACACAUUGCACAUCCAAACCGGGGGAAUUACUGUCUCCACGAAGGAGGAUAAUCGGGGAGGUGAAUCUAAGGUUUCCUCCCCCCGUGGGAAGAAAAGGGCCGCCUCCGAAGACUUGGAAACAGAGGUGCCUAAACAAGGGAAGAAAACUUCACCAGGGGGCCUUGCCCCAAAGGGCGUCCUCACUGCACCAUGCCUGCAAACGGGCCAGCCCUCCAUCGAGCUGUAAGUUAAUUGUAAUAAAAAGGUAUUGCUUCCUCCUCCGAGAACAAUAACCAGGAUCUAUCCUUUGCAGUCCGGCUAGUAGCUCUUCUCAACAUAGUUCGUCUUUGGGGAAUCUUCUUCUGGAGAUGAUGGAGAGUGAAACCCCACCUGCCUCUCCACCCCAUGGGGCGGGCGACCCUGAGGUGUCGUCACAGAUGAUUCCAGAUCCGUCGAGGCCAGAAGCUAACACUUCGGCCACCCGGAGCCCGGAGUGUUCGGCUCCCACAGAGGGCAAUAGGAAGGGUCCGGGACAGUCCGGCGCCCGGCCGGACACACGGACGGGCCUUCUGGAGCAAGCUGCUCUCUUAGAGGAUCACCGUACGUUUAUGGGUAUGGUGUUUGAGAAGAUUUCAUCCGCCACAAGCGGGUUGAAUGAAGCUUUUAUGAGCCUGCUCAAAGGCUUUGAGGUACGCAACGAAACACAUAAUUUUUUGGUUGUACCGCACGCGCUAGGUGUGCUCCGUAUAGAUAGUAGCCCUGAGAAUUUGGUUGCCAGCCCUAGGCGGCAAAUGGAUGAUCACACUCCAAAGUAAUGUUUGCACUGCAUUCAUGCGAAGGUGGCUAAGGGUCCGGCGGUAGACCGAACCGCUGAAUUCGCCAAACUGAGGUGACAGAUUGAUGUGGUGAACGCCGACAUCACGCUUGUAAACAAGCGGCUUGACAAGUCACAGAGUAUGUGCUCUUUUUUCCUCAUUUGUUUAGGAAAUAUUAAGAGGAGCAUAAUGUUAAUAUGAUAUGUUGUGGCUGCAGGCGGAGCUGCUGCCGUGGAGGCCCUAAGGGCGAAACUUGCCCUAGCCAAGGAACAAGCCAAGGCUAGCAAUGCGGCUGCCCUAAAGGCGGCCGAAGAUUUAAGAGCUGAACAGUCUGCUCAUCACCGAAGCGAAGAUAAAAUAGCCGAGAUGGCUGUAGAGCUGAGGGACGCCGCCGGCCGAUAUGAGCUCCUUGAAAAGGAGAGUCACGCGAAGUCGGCUGACCUGAAGAAGGCCCUAGAUGCAGCCAAGGAGACGCGCUCUGAAAUUAGAGCUGCGUGGGAGGAGCUUCGACAGGCCGGAGACAACGCGGCUGGAAGCCCCUAUUUGUUGCGGAUGAAGUUCAGAGAUCCAAAAUAUGCUCCUCUGGAUCAGUCUUGGAGCACUGCAGACACGUAUGUGGAUCUAGCAAAAAGUACGGCUGAUGCAACCAAGUUCUUCAAGGAUAAAAAAGAUAAUGAAAUCGAAAGGUUGUUCUGGUCGCAAUUCAGUGCUCCAACACGCCCGUUGCCAUUGAGUGAGAGGAUGGACGCUAUGGCCGAGCUCCAUAGGUUGUCCGGUCUUGCAAUAAGGUCUCUAAUACACCAUCUAUGGUCGAAGGGACCAAGGCCGGGCAGUUAUUUUGGUUUAGUGCAACAAUUCCUUGGCGUCGUAUCGUGAAUCGAUGCCGUGAAGAGAUCGGCGUGCAUAGCGGGUGCGUGGAUGGCUCUUGCCCGUGUUAAAACAUGUUGGGCAGAUAUGGAGGCCACCAGCAUUGCAACCCAGAGUCCGGCAAGAAGCCAAGACCCAACCGAGCACUAUUUUGAGCAGGUCAUAGAAGGUGCCCGUUUAAUAGAGGCUCAGUGCUCGAAGAGUGCCAUGUUCGAGUGACAAUUCGUUCAAUUGUAAAAACAAUUCUAUUUAAUUAUAAAGGUUGUGUUUAUACUUUCGCCUGAAAGUGUUAUAGUGCCUUCUGUGCGGCCGUUUAUGUAUGUAUGUAACCUGAAAGUUAGCAGUCGUUGGCUUCAGCCCCCACGCAUAUAAUGCGGGGGUGUUCACAAAAAUGUGCGUAAUUACACUUGAUCCAGCGUCUUGGUCCAUUAAGGAGGUGAUCACACGUCGAACUAGGCAACCGGACUAUAUAGCUUUAACACUUUCACUUAGCCAUGGGAGUUUGACGGUGGGGCUACUAUGUAGCCCCUGAUACCUCCGCGUGCAUCUGGAUACGGGUGCGUAUGUACAUGACCGGGAAACGGUCCUUCGUUAAUGCGGAGGAAUCCCGAAGAUUCCAAUGAGUCCUCGAGUGGUUGACCAGUCUCUCGCUGUAUCAUGACAGUCAGUUUUCGGCUUUCUCUACUGAGGUGCUCAUCCGGAAUAACCAGGGCACAAUCGCAGUAGUUCUCCUUUGGACGCCUUAGCCGAUAGAACGGAACAUAAGGCAGCAAACCCAGGAGCCGAGCAAACCCAACAUUUGACGCAAUACAUGAUUCGGAUCUGAUGCAUAUAAGGCCAAACUCGCGACGCUGAACACUCCCGAAGGUAUUCGGACUUUAUAACGUAUACUGGGCUAAGUAAUGCCCUCGAUUAUGAACCCUGUAUUUCCAGGUAUGUGCAUUAAUCUGUCGUGGUGAAAUCCCAAUAACGCCUGUAUCCCCUGUGGGUGUAUUGAAUACCCGUGGGAUGUCAAGCAACAAGAGACAGUAAAGAAGGUUUACACAGGGGCUUAAUCUAAAGAGAAACCUUUGAGCGGGGCCCUGCUGCACGUCUGCGCCUUUGUCUCCGUUGUGCCGUAUCCUGGAAGGGUGUCGCACGAAUGGUGUCUGUAAAAAGGAAAACUCAUGUAAAAGAGUAUGGAGUAAGCGUGCGAAAAGUUGGUUAUUGUCAAUGGAUAGUAGAAAUCUGAGAUAUUGGUAUAUUAAUAAGGUCAAGCCGAAUUAUGGGCUUUGUUACAUGUUUGGAGCCCCUAGUACCAUCUAUGGGGGUAUAUGUAUAGCCCCUAGCUCAGGUUUAUCUGGGUUGUUGCCGACGGUGGUGCACCAGACUCAUCUAACUGUGUUCGUGGUCUUAACGACCGAUCAUGCAUUCUAAGGGAGAGGCCGCUUAGUGUCCGGCUGCUAGAGCCGCCACAUACUCUUCCGCACGUAAGGAACACUCUGUGUUUCCGCUAAUAGUGAUGACGCCACAUGGACCGAGCAUCUUGAGUUUAAGGUAGGCGUAGUGUGGUACUGCGUUGAAGCGAGCGAAGGCCAUUUUUCCGAGUAAUGCAUGAUAACCGCUUCGGAAGGGAGCUAUGUCGAAGAGUAAUUCUUCGCUUCUGAAGUUGUCGGGAGAACCGAAUGUCACCUAUAACACGAGGGAGCCCCUGCAGCGGGCAUCAACGCCUGGUAUCACUCCUUUAAAGGUGGUGUUACUUUCGCUGAUUCUUGAUGGGUCUAUCCCCAUCUUGCGGACGGUGUCCUGAUAUAUCAGAUUAAGACUACUGCCGCCGUCCAUGAGGACUCGAGUGAGAUGGUAUCCAUCGAUUAUUGGGUCGAGCACCAAGGCAGCCGAUCCUCCGUGUCGGAUAGUAGUCGGGUGGUCCCUACGAUAAAAAGUGAUCGGACAGGCCGACCAACGGUUGAAUUUGGGGGCGACGGAUUCUACAGCAUAUACGUCUCUGAGCGCGCAUUUGCGCCUUCUCUUUGGUAUGUGAGUCGCGUAGAUCAUGUUUACUGUUUUGACUUCUGGUGGGAAUUUUUUAUGUCCCCUAGUGUUCGGCUGGCGAGGGUCAUCCUUGUCUUCACUUAGUGUUUCCCUUCCCUUGUGUUCGGCAUUUAACUUGCCGGCCUGUGAAGCCCCAGAUUCAAUCGUACACUAAUCAUGCACGCAAACGUAUACGGUCAAGAUCAGGGACUCACGGGAAGAUAUCACAACACAACUCUAAAAACAUAAAUAAGUCAUACAAGCAUCAUAAUACAAGCCAGGGGCCUCGAGGGCUCGAAUACAAGUGCUCGAUCAUAGACAAGUCAGCGGAAGCGACAAUAUCUGAGUACAGACAUAAAUUAAACAAGUUGUCAUAAGAUGGCUAGCACCAACUGGGAUACAGAUCGAAAGAGGUGCAGGCCUCCUGCCUAGGAUCCUUCUAACUACUCCUGGUCGUCGUCAGAGGCCUGCACGUAGUAGUAGGCACCUCCGGUGUAGUAAGAGUCGUUGUCGACAGUGGCGUCUGGCUCCUGGGCUCCGGCAUCUAGUUGCGACAACCAGGUAGAAGGGAAAGGGGGAAAAGAGGGAGAAAGCAACCGUGAGUACUCAGCCAAAGUACUCGCAAGCAAGGAGCUACACUACAUAUGCAUGGGUAUAUGUGUAAAAAGGCAAUAUCGGUGGACUGAACUGCAGAAUGCCAGAAUAAGAGGGGGAUAGCUAGUCCUAUCGAAGACUACGCUUCUUGCAGCCUCCGUCUUGCAGCAUGUAGAAGAGAGUAGAUUGUAGUCCUCCAAGUAGCAUCGCAUAGCAUAAUCCUACCCGGCGAUCCUCCCCUCGUCGCCCUGUGGAAAAGCGAUCACCGGGUUGUCUGUGGAACUUGUCUGGGUGCGUUUUAUUAAGUAUCCGGUUCUAGUUGUCAUAAGGUCAAGGUACAACUCUGGGUCGUCCUUUUACCGAGCGACAUGACUAUUCGAAUAGAUAAACUUCCCUGCAGGGGUGCACCACAUUUCCCAACUCGCUCGAUCCCAUUUGGCCGGACACACUUUCCUGGGUCAUGCCCGGCCUCAGAAGAUCAACACGUCGCAGCCCCACCUAGGCACAACAGAGAGGUCAACAUGCCGGUCUAAAUCCUAUGCGCGCAGGGGUCUGGGCCCAUCGCCCAUUGCAAACCUGCACGUUGCGAGGGCGGCCGGAAGCAGACCUAGCCUCCCUUAUACAAGAGUAGGCGUUCCAGUCCAAUCCGGCGCGCGCCGCUUCGUCGCUGACGUCAAGAAGGCUUCGGCUGAUACCACGACGUCGAGUGCCCAUAUCUUUCCCGCGUAGUUGGUUAGUGCGUAUAGGCCAGUGGCCAGACUUAGAUCAAAUACCAAGAUCUCGUUAAGCGUGUUAUUAUGAAAUAACCACGAACGCCGACCAGGGCUAGGCCCACCUCUCUCCUAGGUGGUCUCAACCUGCCCUGCCGCUCCGCCACAAAGGAACAGUCGGGGGCCCUCAGGAACCCAGGCCCACCUCUACCGGGAUGGAGCCACCUGUCCUUUCAGCCACCCACAUCGGAAUCACUUGCGGGUACUCAACAAGCUGACCCGACUUUAGUCACCAUCUGUAUAGUAUGUAUAUAUGAAUAGUAUAUACCCGUGAUCACCUCUCAAGUGAUCACGACCCAAUAGUAUAGCAAGGCAAACUGACAAGAAUGUAGGGCCAAUGAUGAUAAACUAGCAUCCUAUACUAAGCAUUUAGGAUUGCGGGUAAGGUAUCAAUGACUGUAGCAACAACGACAGGCUAUGCAACAGAAUAGGAGUAACCGAACAGUAACAUGCUACACGUCUCUAAUGCAAGCAGUAUAGAGAAGAAUAGGCGAUAUCUGGUGAUCAAGGGGGGGCUUGCCUGGUUGCUUUGGCAAGAAGAAGGGGUCGUCAACUCCGUAGUUGAACUGGGGGUCACUGGCAGUCUCGAGGUCUACCGGAAAGAAGUAACGGAGGGGGAACACAAUAAAUAACAGAGCAAUCAAAGCAUCACAAAGCGUAACAAGACAAUACAUGGUGUUCGGUGUGCCCUAACGCGAUAGUAGGUGAUACCGGUGAAGGGGGGAAACAUCCGGGAAAGUAUCCCCGGUGUUUCGCGUUUUCGGACAGAUGAAUCAGAGGGGGAAAGUUGCGUUUUCGCUAUGCCAGGGAUGUGUGGCGGACAAACGGGCUGCGUAUUCGGAUUCGUCUCGUCGUCUUGAGCAACUUUCAUGUACAAAGUUUUUCCAUCCGAGUUACGGAUUAUUUUAUAUUGAUUUUUUAAAGUUUUAAUUCAAUUUUGGAAUUAAUAGAUUUUAAUUAAUUAGAAAAGGUAAUUAUUAGGUCAGGUGACAUCAGCAUGAUGUUAGCAGGUCUACAGGUUGACUAGGUCAACCUUGGCACGUGGGGCCCGUUCGUCAUAGUCUCAAGUUAAUUAAACAGGGUUAAUUAGUUUAACUAAGUGAUUAGGUUAAUUAAUUUUAAUUAGAUUAGUUAAAUAGGAUUGAUUAACUUAAUUAACUAAUUGAUUAAUUAAUUGCUAAUUUAUUUAUUUUAACUCUUCUUUUUAUUUAAAAUUCGUUCUCGGGUGGGCCCCCUUGUCAUUUGGCCAGGGGGCUUAUCGGGCACGGGCGCUAACGGGCGCGGGUUAACGGGGGGUGGAGCGGAGCAAAGCCACGAGGCUCACGGGCGCGAGCGCCGGCGGCCGGCAGCCGCGCGGGCGGCGACCCGAGCAGGGCUGGGGGAGCAGCACCACAUCAGGCAGCGGGGCGACCAAGUAGCGCCAUGGCGCGGGCGCGGCCAGGCCACCGUGGGGGAGGGGGGUUCGGCACGGCGAGGAGCGAACGACUGUUAUUGGGUCAGCGGAGAGCGGACGCGGCCGGUGCAGCGGGCAAGGACGGCCAUGCGCGGGUGGUUGCGGGAGCACUGCGAGGGCACGGCAGGGUGCAGGGUCGCGGACGGGGGCUCGCGGGGAGCGUGUGCGGCGGGUUGCAGAGAGCCGCAGGGGGGGUCGUCGGGCGCUGUGAGCAUGCGCUNNNNNNNNNNNNNNNNNNNNNNNNNNNNNNNNNNNNNNNNNNNNNNNNNNNNNNNNNNNNNNNNNNNNNNNNNNNNNNNNNNNNNNNNNNNNNNNNNNNNNNNNNNNNNNNNNNNNNNNNNNNNNNNNNNNNNNNNNNNNNNNNNNNNNNNNNNNNNNNNNNNNNNNNNNNNNNNNNNNNNNNNNNNNNNNNNNNNNNNNNNNNNNNNNNNNNNNNNNNNNNNNNNNNNNNNNNNNNNNNNNNNNNNNNNNNNNNNNNNNNNNNNNNNNNNNNNNNNNNNNNNNNNNNNNNNNNNNNNNNNNNNNNNNNNNNNNNNNNNNNNNNNNNNNNNNNNNNNNNNNNNNNNNNNNNNNNNNNNNNNNNNNNNNNNNNNNNNNNNNNNNNNNNNNNNNNNNNNNNNNNNNNNNNNNNNNNNNNNNNNNNNNNNNNNNNNNNNNNNNNNNNNNNNNNNNNNNNNNNNNNNNNNNNNNNNNNNNNNNNNNNNNNNNNNNNNNNNNNNNNNNNNNNNNNNNNNNNNNNNNNNNNNNNNNNNNNNNNNNNNNNNNNNNNNNNNNNNNNNNNNNNNNNNNNNNNNNNNNNNNNNNNNNNACGCGGUGAGGCGGCGGGUGCGGCUUCGGGCGACGGCGAUGUCCGUCCUCCUCCUCUCGAUCCCGAUCCAAUCGGGAGAGAGGGGGCAGUGAUAUUUUGCGGGGGGGAGUGAGGUGUCGGUGGCGGUUCGGGUUUCUGGGGGGAGUGGAUAAGGGGAGUGGGGGGUGGCCGGCUGGGCCUGGUGGGUUGGCCAGUGGAGCUGAUGGCCUACUGGGCCGGAGCCCGGGGGUUCCUCCUUUUGUUUUUUUGUUUUUCUCUUUUUUGUAAUUUCUUUCUUUUCUUUAAUUUUCUUUUCUGUUAUAUUUAAUUUAAAGCACUUAGGCACUUUGUAAAAUUAUGUUUUCUUCACUAUAACUACCUAAGUGAUAUUAGGCACUACCCGAACAUUUUUGUUAUAACUUUUGAAAACUUUUGAUGUUUGCCUUUAAUUCAAAUUUGAAUUUGAAUUGGUUUUGAACUAACGUGAGUUUAUCAACAAUAACCGAGGUGACGUGGCAUCAUUAGCGUGGAAUUACUGUAGCUUAAUUAUCCGGGCGUCACAAUUCUCCUCCACUACAAGAAAUCUCGUCCCGAGAUUUAAGAGGGGAAGUAAGGGGGAAAUGUUUUGGUUACGAAAAAUCUAACGGGUCUUCUCGCUCCUGGUUUCCCUUCUUGAAGAGGUUGAUCCGUUACGUUGAUGUCUUCAUUUCUCCUCUUCAGGUCAUCAUGGUGAAGUCGUCCUUUUCUUCGGGAACUCCAACGUACUUACAAAUAGGUAAGGGGCAGCUCGGCUACGAUAGAAUGCUUAGGAGGGAAUCAAUCUAGGGUUAACCCGUGAAUGAGCAUAAGAUUAUCUCUCGAGUUGAACAUAUAGAAUACAUCAAGAGUAAGGUACGAAGGUACAAUAAGAGGUUCCAAGCGAAUAGAUAGUUUCUCGAAGUCUGAACCAGAGUGAGAAAGGGGUUCAGAGCAGCGAGAGUAAGUAUUGCGUCUGAUACCAGAAUAGAGCACUAGGAAGGUGGCUCAUGAAUUAAAUAUGAAGCCAAGCGUGGGGAAUAACCAUUAGAAAUAGGGUUGUACAGGAGAGUCAGGUUUCAAUUCUGUGGAACUGUGGGUUAUGGGCCCACCAUGUGGGUUAAAAGUUGGAAGGGUGGAGACAUCUUGCAUGAUCAUGCAAGCAAGGCAUGUCAGAGGUAGCCGUCGAUUAUGUCGGCAACAACGUCGGUACCAAGGGCGAGGGACGAAGAGAACCAUUUUCCUGCUCGUUGAACAAGGUGGACCAAUAGGCAAAGUUCUCGUCCAUCGGUGGUUACCGGAAUGUCAUCAACAAUAGUAACAGGGUCUUACUGAUAGAGUUGUACACCGAGGUGUUUACAUAAGCAGGAGAAUAUUACUGCUUAGAUCAUAUAGAUCACAAGAAACGUUAAACCAACCAAUGGAAAGGAAAAUACGAUUAUUAGAUUAAACAGAACAAUGGAAAGGAAAAUGUGUUUAAACACAUAUUUCAAGGGUAUAUCCUUCCCAAGGACAAGAAGAGCAUGAUAUCCAUGAUAGGAUAUAAUGUAGAAAACUCUUCAGGUAGGGGAGAGAAAUUUCAUGACAUUUCCCAUACAGCGGUGUUUGGAUAAUUGAGCAAGAAACAUUUAGCAUUGGGCUUCAAAUGUUCUUUGUUAAAAAUCGGAGUACCCAAACAUGCUUCGAGAUAGCAUUGACAUGGUCGUCAAGCAAAGAUCACACUUCGGAUACACAAAGGAUCCAUCAGGAACAACUUGUAGAAUAAGUCUUACAAUUUCCUCAUGGAAGAAUGGAUAAUCUUGCUAAAAGGAAGAACUAUAACAAUAGGCCCUCCAGCCAGGUGUGCUAGGCAUGACAUCACCUUAUCGAGUCAAAUAAGGACCAACAUUAUGACUCUUGGAAAAUGUUCCAACCAUCAUAUCUGACCAAGAUUUAGAUCUAAUUGGGGUCAGGAUACCUCAGACUCAGGAUGCUUGAGAAGAAAAAGGUGCGAAACAAAUUGACGAGAUGACAUCGAGGAUUCUCGGGAAAUGAACUAUGGAAGCGAGUUCCGAAACAAGAGUUCAUCAUUAAAUCAAGAAGAGGAUGAGGAGGUGACUGAUGGACUCAGCGAUAAUUCAUCGAGGUAUCCAAAAGAUGGAUCUCCACAAUUAUGUGGAUAAGGAGAUAACAUUUGUCAUAUCAAAUGAUAUAAGGAAGUAAGCUCGAGGAAAACAUACACAAUUAAACAUUGGUUGAAAGGUGCGCCCAAAAUAUGGGUUGGGUUGCACGACCAAUGUCAGAAUGGUGAUUCAAUAAUUAAUAGUCUAAGAAUGAACGACCGACCAUUAACUUCUAAGCAAUAGGGUUGCUAGAAGUGCAAAAUCCAAACAACACCGCUCACCUAUUGGUACCCCGGUUGGAAUCAACAUGAGGACCAAGAAAGAAUGGUGAUGAUGAGAAGUAUCACUAUACCAAGAAUUCUUAAGAGGUGGAGUAAUCCUCAUGACAUUCUUGACAUAAAAGAUGGUAACACUCCAAGGUAAAGAAGAAUAAAUGAUGGAUAGCAAGGAACUCAAGGUAUAACACAAAAAACGAACAAGUUUGUGUUGGAGGGAAGGCAAUAAAGUGGCCGAUGAUAACACAACUCAUCAAGGGCAAGGAUGGUAUUUCCCAUGAAGAAUUCAAUAGAUAUCUUGGAAGAGCAUCAAAAUGUUGAUGAUGAUCAUGACACAUUUGUCAAGAGAGUUCAUGAAGAUGUAAUCAAUCGGCGAUGACAUCAAGUCAAAGGAAUGAUGAAGCGAAAGGAUAUUGGAACCACGAGUACGACACAAACUCGAAAUCAAGCUUGCUGUUCAAGGUGAAAUGAUAUGACAAGGGAAAUCGACGCAAGCUUUGCUCAUCGUCGAAAGUGGUGCUCCGAGAAUAAGGACCAGGUAACGCCGUUAAAAUCAUCACGACAAUCAUAUAGCCAAACAGGCUAUGAAUGCCGUGAUCGGGUACAAACUCGUACGCAAGGAAGAUUACUAAGAGUUGUUGAACCGUAGUGCGGACUCGGUUCAGUUAUCGGUGUCUUUGAGUGUUUAAUAACUCGAAGCCCGUGCAAAAUUGGAAUCCGUGAGAAUGUAGUACUUGAUGAAGAACUCGUAAGAAGUUAUGCAGUUCCAUGAUAAUCUCGAGAUACCAGGGGGUGAUACUCGACGAAAGAUCAAAGUAAAGGUUGGGCUGGUGUAUUGAUCCACAGAAGACAAGUGCUUAAACUUGCCCGAGAAAUGGGAUCAAAGAAGAACAUAUGGUCGGAACCACAAUUGCAAAAGAUCAAUUCUCCGAUACCAAAGGAUAUUAUAUCAAGGAAAUAGCUAUUAUCGCAAGAAGCUCCCAUGGUAGGAUCUACAUCGUGUCCAUGGGCAUGAACACAAAGGUUCAAGGUCGAUUCCCACUUCCUCAAUGCAUAACCUUCCAUUCACCUCUCGUAUUUCAAAAAUGACAUUAGUUGUUGAACAUUUUACCUGGUACAAUACCAGAUAAGUAUGACCCGUGAAAUCUUUCGGGUUCGCACCGAUUAGGGAAGGUAAUGGUUCAACCCAUCGGGGCAUCUAGGAAUAUAUACCACAAACUUCACAGUAAAGAACUCAAGCUCGGGAGCUGAGCAUGGUUGACAAAAGCAGGGGAUACAAUUUAUCAAAGGCCUUAUGUAUCUGAGGAAAAGCUCACAAGGUUAAUGAAUACGAAGGACGGUGUCAGACAAAAUCCAACAAAGAACCUGGCGGUCCCUAAGGGAUUUGAUGUGAGCAUCGGUACUCAACCGGAAGAAGAAAGAAUGCAAGGAGAUCUGAUUAUAGAAACAAACGACUAAGUCAAGCUCAAAUGCAAAAGGAAUUAAGAUUUCCAAAUGAAGGGAUCAAAAGCAAACACUCUGAUAAAGGAUGGAUAAUUUGAAUACACUUAGGGGUACAAUCGACGGUAAUUUAAUUGGCUGAGAACCAGCUCAUGUUGAAAAUGAUGUCUGAGCCGGAAUGAUAAUUUUCAGGGAAUAAAUGAUGAUUGUGUGCAUUCACACACAUGUUGAAUUAACAAGAUCAGAAUGUCGAUCACAAAGUAUUUUAAUGAAUAUUGCUAGACAUAUGGAAGUAACCAUUAUGCAAGCAGGUAAAGAAGAUCAAGAGCAAAUAGGCUACUAAGGAUUUUGGAAGAGCCAAUGGCAUUUAGAAGCAUUUUGCGAAACACCUAAACAAUUGGGGAUGAGCGGAUAAUCGAUAAGUGCGAGGAAUUAUCCGUAGGGGUAUUUAUGAGGAAAAGGAGCUGCAAGGCAGCAGACACAAAGGAUUCUCGGAAUAUCCGAGGUAUUUCAGGGUAUCUUGUAAUAUGAAAAUAAAAUUGGAAAUGAAGUUAUGGACGACAAGUGUAUGUAGCUUUCCAUAGGGCUUUAUCGGUGGUAUGGAAAUGCAACGGCGAAGGGCACAAGGGUCUCAAGGAAACAUCGGAGAGUAUCUUCAAAAUUUUCUGGUGCAGCAGGCGAUCAUCUGGACUGAAGGGGCUCACCGGGAGAAAGUAUUAUCGAGAACCUAGAGUCAGAGUUAGUAAAAUUGUUUAACUCGAAUAGAAGAAAUGUCAGAGUCAAAGAGUAUAGGUCGAGGAAUAAAAGAUCCUAAUACCACACAAUGGCGACGUGGGCCCAUAAGGCACACAACCAUGUUAGUAAAAGUUUUUCAAUAACUAGACUCGACUUCGGCCAAGGAGUUGGAAAGGGGUAUUCCUAUAGGCAGUCGGCUCUGAUACCAACUUGUGACAUCCCCGAUUCAAUCGUACACUAAUCAUGCAUGCAAACGUGUACGAUCAAGAUCAGGGACUCACGGGAAGAUAUCACAACACAACUCUAAAAACAUAAAUAAGUCAUACAAGCAUCAUAAUACAAGCCAGGGGCCUUGAGGGCUCGAAUACAAGUGCUCGAUCAUAGACGAGUCAACGGAAGCAACAAUAUCUGAGUACAGACAUAAGUUAAACAAGUUGCCAUAAGAUGGCUAGCACCAACUGGGAUACAGAUCGAAAGAGGCGCAGGCCUCCUGCCUGGGAUCCUCCUAACUACUCAUGGUGGUUGUUAGAGGCCUGCGCGUAGUAGUAGGCACCUCCGGUGUAGUAAGAGUCGUCGUCGACGAUGGUGUCUGGCUCCUGGGCUCCGGCAUCUGGUUGCGACAACCAGGUAGAAGGGAAAGGGGGAAAAGAGGGAGAAAGCAACCGUGAGUACUCAUCCAAAGUACUCGCAAGCAAGGAGCUACACUACAUAUGCAUGGGUAUAUGUGUAAAAAGGCAAUAUCGGUGGACUGAACUGCAGAAUGCCAGAAUAAGAGGGGGAUAACUAGUCCUAUCAAAGACUAUGCUUCUGGCAGCCUCAGUCUUGCAGCAUGUAGAAAAGAGUAGAUUGUAGUCCUCCAAGUAGCAUCGCAUAGCAUAAUCCUACCCGGCGAUCCUCCCCUCGUCGCCCUGUGGAAAAGCGAUCACCGGGUUGUCUGUGGAAGUUGUCUGGGUGUGUUUUAUUAAUUAUCCGGUUCUAGUUGUCAUAAGGUCAAGGUAUAACUCCGAGUCAUCCUUUUACCGAGGGACACGGCUAUUCGAAUAGAUAAACUUCCCUGCAGGGGUGCACCACAUUUCCCAACACGCUCGAUCCCAUUUGGUCGGACACACUUUCCUGGGUCAUGCCCGGCCUUGGAAGAUCAACACAUCGCAGCCCCACCUAGGCACAACAGAGAGGUCAACACGCCGGUCUAAAUCCUAUGCACGCAGGGGUCUGGGCCCAUCGCCCAUUGCACACCUGCACGUUGCGAGGGCGGCUAGAAGCAGACCUAGCCUCCCUUAUACAAGAGUAGGCGUUCCAGUCCAAUCCGGCGCGCGCCGCUCCGUCGCUGACGUCAAGAAGGCUUCGGCUGAUACCACGACAUCGAGUGCCCAUAUCUUUCCCGCGUAGUUGGUUAGUGCGUAUAGGCCAGUGGCCAGUCUCAGAUCAAAUACCAAGAUCUCGUUAAGCGUGUUAUUAUGAAGUAACCACGGACGCCGACUAGGGCCAGGCCCACCUAUCUCCUAGGUGGUCUCAACCUGCCUUGCCGCUCCGCCACAAAGGAACAGUCGGGGGCCGUCAGGAACCCAGGCCCACCUCUACCGGGAUGGAGCCAACUGUCCUUUCAGCCCCCACAUCGGAAUCACUUGCGGGUACUCAACGAGCUGACCCGACUUUAGUCACCAUCUGUAUAGUAUGUAUAUAUGAAUAGUAUAUACCUGUGAUCACCUCCCAAGUGAUCACGUCCCAAUAGUAUAGCAAGGCAGACUAACAAGAAUGUAGGGCCAAUGAUGAUAAACUAGCAUCCUAUACUAAGCAUUUAGGAUUGCGGGUAAGGUAUCAAUGACUGUAGCAACAAUGACAGGCUAUGCAACAGAAUAGGAGUAACCAAACAGUAACAUGCUACACUACUCUAAUGCAAGCAGUAUAGAGAAGAAUAGGCGAUAUCUGGUGAUCAAGGGGGGUUGCCUGGUUGCUCUGGCAAGAAAAAGGGGUCGUCAACUCCGUAGUUGAACUGGGGGUCGCCGGCAGUCUCGAGGUCUACCGGAAAGAAGUAAUGGAGGGCGAACACAAUAAAUAACAGAGCAAUCAAAGCAUCACAAAGCAUAACAAGACAAUACAUGGUGUUCGGUGUGCCCUAACGCGAUAGUAGGUGAUACCGGUGAAGGGGGGAAACAUCCGGGAAAGUAUCCCCGGUGUUUCGCGUUUUCGGACAGAUGAAUUGGAGGGGGAAAGUUGUGUGUUCGCUAUGCUAGGGAUGUGUGGCGAACAAACGGGCUGCGUAUUCGGAUUCGUCUCGUCGUCUUGAGCAACUUUCAUGUACAAAGUUUUUCCAUCCGAGUUACGGAUUAUUUUAUAUUAAUUUUUUAAAGUUUUAAUUCAAUUUUGGAAUUAACAGAUUUUAAUUAAUUAGAAAAGGUAAUUAUUAGGUCAGCGUGACAUCAGCAUGAUGUCAGCAGGUCUACAGGUUGACUAGGUCAACCUUGGCACGUGGGGCCCAUUCGUCAUAGUCUCAGGUUAAUUAAAUAGGGUUAAUUAGUUUAACUAAGUGAUUAGGUUAAUUAAUUUUAAUUAGAUUAGUUAAAUAGGAUUGAUUAACUUAAUUAAUUAAUUAAUUACUAAUUUAUUUAUUUUAACUCUUCUUUUUAUUUAAAAUUCGUUCUGGGUGGGCCCCCUUGUCAUUUGGCCAGGGGGGCUUAUCGGGCGCGGGCGCUAACGGGCGCGGGUUAACGGGGGGUGGAGCGGAGCAAAGCCACAAGGCUCACGGGCACGAGCGCCAGCGGCCGGCGGCCGCGUGGGCGGCUACCUGAGCAGGGCUGGGGGAGCAGCACCACAGUAGGCAGCGGGGCAAGCAAGUAGCGCCAUGAUGCGGGCGCGGCCAGGCCACCGUGGGGGAGGGGGGUUCGGCAUGGCGAGGAGCGAACGACUAUUAUUGGGUCAGCGGAGAGCGGGACGCGGCCGGUGCGGCCUGGAGCGCGGUCGGGCAGGGACGGCCAUGCGCGGGUGGUUGCGGGAGCGCUGCGAGGGCACGGCAGGGUGCAGGGUCACGGACGGCGGCUCGCGGGGAGCGUGUGCAGCGGGUUGCAGAGAGCCACAGGGGGGUCAUCGAGCGCUGUGAGCAUGCGCUGGGCGCGGUGAAGUACGACGCCGGUGCGCGUGAAGGAUAGGGGAAAGAGGGGAGGGCGUGGCCCUCACCGGCGUUGGCGAGUAGGGGGGAUCGGCGUGGCUCGAUGGAGCCGUCGAGGGGGAGACGAGGAAGGGGCGACGAACGAGGCGGAGGAGCUCUGGGCGGCGUUGACGAGCAGCGGCGACGGGGUGGUCCGUCGAUGGGGAGGCCUUCGGGCGACGGCGGACAAGGCGCCGAGCGCGACGAGUACGGCGGGGAUGAGGUGGUGCUGGAGGAGGCGAGCGGUGACGGGGCGCGUCUGGGAGGAAGCGAGGCGGUGAGGCGGCGGAGGCGGCUUCGGGNNNNNNNNNNNNNNNNNNNNNNNNNNNNNNNNNNNNNNNNNNNNNNNNNNNNNNNNNNNNNNNNNNNNNNNNNNNNNNNNNNNNNNNNNNNNNNNNNNNNNNNNNNNNNNNNNNNNNNNNNNNNNNNNNNNNNNNNNNNNNNNNNNNNNNNNNNNNNNNNNNNNNNNNNNNNNNNNNNNNNNNNNNNNNNNNNNNNNNNNNNNNNNNNNNNNNNNNNNNNNNNNNNNNNNNNNNNNNNNNNNNNNNNNNNNNNNNNNNNNNNNNNNNNNNNNNNNNNNNNNNNNNNNNNNNNNNNNNNNNNNNNNNNNNNNNNNNNNNNNNNNNNNNNNNNNNNNNNNNNNNNNNNNNNNNNNNNNNNNNNNNNNNNNNNNNNNNNNNNNNNNNNNNNNNNNNNNNNNNNNNNNNNNNNNNNNNNNNNNNNNNNNNNNNNNNNNNNNNNNNNNNNNNNNNNNNNUCCUCUCGAUCCCGAUCCAAUCGGGAGAAAGGGGGCAGAGAUAUUUUGAGGGGGGGAGUAAGGUGUCGGUGGCGGUUCGGGUUUCUGGGGGGAGUGGAUAAGGGGAGUGGGGGGAGUGGCCGGCUGGGCCUGGUGCGUUGGCCAGUGGGGCUGAUGGCCUGCUGGGCCGGAGCCCGGGGGUUCCUCCUUUUGUUUUUUGUUUUUUUGUUUUUUGUAAUUUCUUUCUUUUAUUUAAUUUUCUUUUCUGUUAUAUUUAAUUUAAAGCACUUAGGCACUUUGUAAAAUUAUGUUUUCUUCACUAUAACUACCUAAGUGAUAUUAGGCACUACCCGAACAUUUUUCUUAUAACUUUUGAAAACUUUUGAUGUUUGCCUUUAAUUCAAAUUUGAAUUUGAAUCGGUUUUGAACUAACGUGAGUUUAUCAACAAUAACCGAGGUGACAUGGCAUCAUUAGCAUGGAAUUACUGUAGCUUAAUUAUCCGGGCGUCACACGGCCUGCUUGAAGACCCAGCAUUUUCUGUGAGUGUGAUUCGCAGGUUUUUUGGGGGUGCCAUGAAUUUGGCACAAUCUAUCCAGGACUUUGUUCAGGCCGGACGGCCCCUCUUUGCUGCCUUUAAAUGGCUUCUUUCGUUGACCGGGUCACUAGCCCCUGAAUCCGGCGUUGACCGCCGUGUCGUCCGGACUUUCUUCCUUGUUUCGACGCUUCUUUUUAUUGCGUUGUGGCUUCCCGUUGCCAUCCCUGAUUUCGGAUGUGCCUGGGUCACUGGUGCCUCUACGGGCCAACCAGCUGUCCUCACCCACGCAAAAGCAUGUCAUAAGGCUUGUUAAGGCCGCCAUUGUCCUCGGCUUUUCUUGGCCGAGGUGUCUGGCAAGCCAUUCGUCCCAGAUACUGUGCUUGAAGGCCGCUAGGGCUUCGACAUCCGGACUAUCAACAAUUUGAUUCUUCUUAGUGAGAAAUCUGUUCCAAAGCUUACGGGCUAACUCUCCGGGCUGUUGUAUUAUGUGAUUUAAAUCGUCUGCAUCCGGAGGUCGGACAUAGGUCCCUUGAAAAUUGGCCCUGAAAGCGUCCUCAAGUUCCUCCCAACUUCCGAUUGAAUUUUCGGGGAGGCUUUUCAACCAAUGCCCAGAUGGUCCUUUCAACUUGAGGGGAAGGUAUUUGAUGGCGUGGAGGUCAUCUCCACAAGCCAUGUGGAUAUGAAGGAUAAAAUCCUCAAUCCAGACCCCAGGGUCUGUCGUUGCGUCGUAUGCCUCUAUGUUCAUGGGUUUGAAUCCCUGUGGAAAUUCGUGAUCCAGCACCUCGUCGGUGAAGCACAGAGGGUGUGCAGCCCCUCUGUAUCUGGACAUGUCGUGGCAUGCUGUUGACUAUUGUUGUGUCCGGUGUUGAUUCCGAACUGGUAUUCGAUCAGUGUGAUCAUUUUGGUGACCAUAAUCCCGCGCCGGAGCAUGUCCUCUAGAUCCAUAGAUGGACCUGGUCGCACCGGCCUUUUUGUCUAGGAGCUCACAUAAAUCGUGUGCUGGCUUGUGUGCGGCGUCAGUAGCUGCUCUAUCGCGGCCAUGAGGUGGUCGGUCCGGCCGAUUGUCCGUAUUGUUCUUCGGCAGAAUGGGCUCUAUGGCCUCAUCGUCGAAUUCGGGCAGCAGCUUGUGCUUUGGGUAGCUCUCUGUGUGGCGAUCGUCGCCAUAUUUUUCUUCAGUGUCCAGCACUUUAUUCCAUCUGCGAUUGAGUGUAUCCUGCGCGGCCUUAAGCCUUUGCUUCUGCUUCUUUAGGCUCCUCGCAGUGGCCAUAAGCCUUCUGUGGAGGUUAUCUUGUUCCAAACGUUUUUACGGGAUGAUGAAUGCAUCGUCGUCCGGACUGUCCUCCUCUCCGGAGGCAGGUUGAUGAGUUCAACCCUCGGGAUCGCUGUGAUCGGGCGCCUGCUCCGGGCUGUGUUCGGCGUGACCUGGCUCAUCCUGCUCCUUCGCUAGGUCCAUAUAGUCGUUGUUGCCUUUGGAGUCGACCGGGGUGUCAAUUUUUCUUGCGAUGUUAUCGCUAUUUUUACUGUGACUGGACUUAGAGCGACGCCUGCGCCGUUGUUUUGGCUUUUGUCCGGGGGGUUUAUCCUCCAUUGUGUCCUUUUUGUCGCCGUUGUCCUCCUUAGGCAUGUCCACCAUGUAUAUAGCAUAUGAUGAGGUGGCAGUCCAGUGCCCCGUGGGCGGUGGUUCCAGAUUGUCCCCUGCAUCGACGUCCAUACCAUCGAUGUCGUCGGAGUCGAAGUCAAGCAUGUCUGUUAGGUCAUCGACAGUGGCUAUUAAGUGGGUGGUGUGUGGGCCACAAUUUUCUUCGUCAUCCGUAUCCCACUCGAGCCGGACAUAGUUCGGCCAAGAGUCUUCUCACAAAGAGAGAGACCUUAAAGAGUUUAGCACGUCACCAAAGGGCGAGCGCUGAAAGAUAUCUGCGGCAGUGAACUACAUGAUUGGUUCCCAAUCAGCUUCGAUGGGCACGGAUGCGCGCGGUCCGGGAUCCACGGCCGGAAACAAGUCCGGGGGUCCGACGACACAGAUUUCCUCAAAGGUGGAGUCUGUGUUCGGCUCCAGCACCGAUGAAUGUGGGGCCUCCGUGACGGGGUCCAUCCCUCCGUCCUUGGGAGGCGCAAUCCGCCCCGGAUUUAGGUCUGGAGCUGCUGCAGGUGCGAUAUCCCGAAUACUGUCCGCUGGCAGAUCUAAGUCGUGCUCGUCGUGACCAUUCGGCGCUCCUGACGCAAUCCCGAAUCCAUCGAAGAUCAAGUCUCUGCGGACAUCGGCGGUGUAGUUCAAGUUUACGAACCCGACCUGAUGGCCAGGGGCGUAGCUGUCGAUCUUCUCCAGAUCGCCAAGCGAAUUGGCCCGCAGUGCGAAGCUGCAGAACACGAAGGUCUGCCCGGGGAGAAAAGUCUCGCCACGGACCGUAUCGUUGUUGAGGAUUGAAGGAGCCAUCAAACCUUGAAGCGACGACACAGAGGAACUCUCAAUGAAAGCACCAAUGUUGGUGUCAAAACCGGAGGAUCUCGGGUAGGGGGUCCCGAACUGUGCAUCUAAGGCUAAUGGUAACAGGAGGCUGGGGACAUGAUGUUUACCCAAUUUCGGGCCCUCUCGAUGGGAGGUAAUACCCUACUUCCUACUUGAUUGAUCUUGAUGAUAUGAGUAUUACAAGAGUUGAUCUACCACGAGAUCGUAGAGGCUAAACCCUAGAAGCUAGCCUAUGAUUCUGAUUGUUCUUGUCCUACGGACUAAACCCUCCGGUUUAUAUAUACACCGGAGGGGGCUAGGGUUACACAGAGUCGGUUACAUAGAAGGAGAUCUAACAUCCGAAUCGCCAAGCUUGUCUUCCAUGCAAAAGAGAGUCCCAUCCGGACAGGGGACGAAGUCUUCAAUCUUGUAUCUUCAUAGUCCAAUAGUCCGGCCAAAGUAUAUAGUCCGGUGAUGCCUACUACACAACCUUCUUCUUGUAGACGUUGUUGGUCCUGCAAGUGCAUAGGUUUGUAGGACAGUAGCAAAUUUCCCUCAAGUGGAUGACCUAAGGUUUAUCAAUCCGUAGGAGGCGUACGAUGAAGAUGGUCUCUCUCAAACAACCCUGCAACCAAAUAACAAAGAGUCUCUUGUGUCCCCAACACACCCAAGACAAUGGUAAAUUGUAUAGGUGCACUAGUUCGGCGAAGAUAUAGUGAUACAAGUGCAAAAUAGAUGGUAGAUAAAGGUAUUUGUAAUCUGAAAUUAUAAAAACAGCAAGGUAACAAGUGAUAAAAGUGAGCAUAAACGGUAUUGCAAUGAUAGGAAACAAGGCCUAGGGUUCAUACUUUCACUAGUGCAAGUUCUCUCAACAAUAAUAACAUAGAUAGAUCAUAUAACCAGCCCUCAACUUGCAACAAAGAGUCACUCCAAAGCCACUAAUAGCGGAGAAAAAACGUAGAGAUUAUGGUAGGGUACGAAACCACCUCAAAGUUAUUCUUUCGGAUCGAUCUAUUAAAGAGUUCGUACUAGAAUAACACCUUAAGACACAAAUCAACCAAAACCCUAAUGUCACUUAGAUACUCCAUUUUCACCUCAAGUAUCCGUGGGCAUGAUUAUAUGAUAUGCAUCACACAAUCUCAGAUUCAUCCAACCAACACAAAGUACUUCAAAGAGUGCCUCAAAGUUUCUACCGGAGAGUCAAGAACGUGUGCCAACCCCUAUGCAUAGGUUCAUGGGCGGAACCCGCAAGUUGGUCACCAAAACAUACAUCAAGAGGCACAUGAUAUCCCAUUGUCACCACAGAUAAGCAUGGCAAGACAUACAUCAAGUGUUCUCAUAAAACACUCAAUCCGAUAAGAUAACUUCAAAGGGGAAACUCAAUUCAUCACAAGAGAGUAGAGGGGAGAAACAUCAUAAGAUCCAACUAUAAUAGAAAAGCUCAGGAUACAUCAAGAUCGUGCCAUAGAGGGAACACGAGAGAGAACACGAGAGAGAGAGAGAUCAAACACAUAGCUACUGAUACAUACCCUCAGCCCCAAGGGUGAACUACUCCCUCCUCGUCAUGCAUAGCGCCGGGAUGAUGAAGAUGGCCACCAGUGAAGGAUCCCCCCUCUGGCAGGGUGCCGAGAAGGGCUCCUGAGAGGUUUUUGGUUGCUACAUAGGCUUGCGUUGGAGGAACUCCCGAUCUAUCUUGAUUUUCAAUGGUUUUAGGGUAUGUAGGCUUAUAUAGGCGAAAGAAGUCGGUCGGGGGGUGCUCGAGGGGUCCACGAGAGAGGGGGCCGCGCCCUGUAGGGGGGGGGCGUGCCCCCUAUCUCCUGUUCUCCUCGAGGAUCUUCUGACUUGAUCUCCAAGCCUCCAGGAUGAUAAUCUUCCAAAAAAACACGUUGCCGAAGGUUUCAUUCCAUUUGGACUCCGUUUGAUAUUCCUUUUCUUCGAAAUACUGAAACAGGCAAUAAAACAGCAAUAUGGGCUGGGCCUCCGGUUAAUAGGUUAGUCCCAAAAGUAAUAUAAAAGUGUAUAAUAAAGCCCGUAAUCAUUCAAAACAGAUAAUAAAAUAGCAUGAAUGCUUCAUAAAUUAUUGAUACGUUGGAGACGUAUCAGCAACCCCAAGCUUAAUUCCUACUCGUCCUCGAGUAGGUAAAUGAUAAAAGAAACAAUUUAUGAAGUGUGAAUGCUAGAGGUGCACAAGUUUGAUCAAUGAUAAUUUCAAUCACCUUUACUAGCAUCAUUAUAUGUCAUAACAGUAGUUCAUCUCAUAAAACUUUUCACGAACUAGUCACAAGCAAUUCACAUGUUAAAGCAUAGACCAUAAACUUUCUUGAAAACUAGCAAACUUCAUUCUUAGUCAUCAAACAAUUGCAAUUCAUCUUACUUUCAGGAAGGGUCUAUGUCAAAGCUUUGAUUUUAGCAAACUUCACAUACUCAACUAUCAUAUAGUCUUCUACAAUUGCUAACACUCAUGCAAUACUUGUGGUUAUGAAGUUUUAAUCAGACACAGAGAAAGAUUGGGGCUUAUAAUGUUGCCUCCAAGCGUAUUCACCUUUGGGUGAUGUCAACAAUAAUAGUUCAUGCUAACGUACAUCCAAUUGGAUAUAUAUAUCAGGAUCACCCUAACACAAAGUGCUUGCCAAAGGAUAAAAUGAAAAAGGGAAAGGUGAAGAUCACCUUGACUCUUGCAUAAAGUAAAAGACAUAAAGUAAAAGAUAGGCCCUUCGCAGAGGGAAGCAGAGGUUGUCAUGAGCUUUUAGGGUUGGAUACACAAAAUCUUAAUGUGAAAGAACGUCACUUUAUAUUGCCCCUUGUAUAUGGACCUUUAUUAUGUAACCCAUUGCUUUUAUUGCUUCCGUAACAAGUUCGUACAAAGCUUAUUUUCUCCACACUAAUAAGUCAUGCAUAUUUAGAGAGAAAUUUUUAUUGCUUGCACCGAUGACAACUUACUUGAAGGAUCUUACUCAAUCCAUAGGUAGGUAUGGUGGACUCUCAUGGCAAAAACUGGGUCUAAGGAUAUUUGGAAGCACAAGUAGUAUCUCUACUUGGUGCAAGGAAUUUUGGCUAGCGUGAGGGGGAAAGGCAAGCUCAACAUGUUUGAAUGAUCCAUGACAAUAUACUUUAACUGAGAUGUGAGAAAACAUAACCCAUUAUGUUGUCUUCCUUGUCCAACAUCAACUCUUUAGCAUGUCAUACAUAGUGAGUGCUCACAAUUAUAAAAAAUGUCUAUGAUAAUAUAUUUAUAUGUGAAACCUACCUACCUUCAAUAUUCUUUCAUGAAUUGUUCAAAUGACCAAUACAAUGCUUGCUAACCGUCAAUAAAUUUACAACCUCUACUUCUUAGAUGUGAAGUCAUUACUCCCCAUGGCAUAAGCAAAUGAAACAUAUAUAAUUUCAGAUUUAUGACAAUCAACUCAUUCAACAAUUUACUCAUAGGAUAUAAGUGAAGCACACGAGUAAAUGAAAAGCUACUACAAAAAGAUAUAAGUGAAGAUCAAUGAGUAGCUAAAUAAUUAUGCAACUAUGUGAAGACUAUCUCUCAAAUAAGAAUUUCAGAUCUUGGUAUCUUAUUUAAACAUAAAGCAAAACAAAAUAAAAUGGCAUUGCAAGGAUAGCACAACUCAUGUGAAGAAGCAAAAACUUAGGCUCAACCGAUACUAACCGAUAGUUGUUGAAGAAGAAAGGUGGGAUGCCUAACGGGGCAUCCCCAAGCUUAGAUGCUUGAGACUUCUUGGAAUAUUAUCUUGGGGUGCCUUGGGCAUCCCAAAUCUUGAGCUUUUGUGUCUCCUUAAUUCCUCUCAUAUCAUGAUUUCUCUUUUUAUCAAAAGCUUCAUUCACAACAAACUCAACAAAACUCGUGAGAUAGGUUAGUAUAAACCAAUGCAAAACCUUAUCAUUUUCUACUGUAAAAAAUCACUAAUAUUAUUAUUCAACAUUGAAUACUAAAUGUCUCUGCAUAUUUAAUACUCCUAUCCUCAAAUAGAAUCAUUAAACGAGCAAACAUAUGCAAACAAUGCAACCAUAACAGCAAUCUGUCAAAACAGUACAGUCUGUAAAGAAUGCAAGAGUAUCAAUACUUCCCUGACUCAAAAAAUUAUGAGAGAAAAUUCCUACUGUAAUAAAUUUAUCAGAGCUCAAUAUUCAAAAAUAUUAAACAUUAUAACAUUCUCUGACUUUUCUAGGGAAUUUUUGCAACAGCGGUAAACUUUCUGUUUUCAAACAGCAAUAUGUAUACUAGCAAAAUAAGCAUGGUGAAGGCUAUCCUUGACUUUUUUAUUGAAACUAAAGAUGAAAAACAUUAUUCUAAAUAACAGCAAGCAAAUACUAACAAAAGAAAAUGACGCUCCAAGCAAAACACAUAUCAUGUGGCGAAUAAAAAUAUAGCUCCAAGUAAAGUUACCGAUGAAUGAAGACGAAAGAGGGGAUGCCUUCCGGGGCAUCCCCAAGCUUAGGAUUUUGGUUGUCCUUGAAUAUUACCUUGGUGUGCCUUGGGAAUCCCCAAUCUUAGGCUCUUUCCACUCUUUAUUCCAUAGUCCAUCGAAUCUUUACCCAAAACUUGAAAACUUCAACCACACAAAACUCAAAACAAAAGUCGUAAGCUCCGUUAGUAUAAGAAAAUAAAACCACCACUUAGGUACUGUGAUGAACUCACUAUUUAUUCAUAUUGGUGUAAUAUCUAAUGUAUUCUAACUUCUCUAUGGUUCAUACCACUUAAUACUAGCCAUAGAUUGAUCAAAAUAAGCAAACAACACAUAGAAAACAGAAUCUGUCAAAAACAGAACAGUAUGUAGUAAUCUGUAUCAAACGUAUACUUAUGGAACCCAAAAAAUUAUGAAAUAAAUUUUUUGACCUGAGUAAUUUGUAUAUUAAUCAUCUUCAAAAAGAAUCAACCUAAAACCACUCUCCAGUAAAAAAUGGCAGCUAUUCUCGUGAGCGCAAAAGUUUCUGUUUUUUACAGCAAGAUCAUAAAGACUUCACCCAAGUCUUCCCAAAGGCUCUACUUGGCACUUUAUUGAAACAAAAGCUAUAGAACAUGAUUAAUACAGAAGCAUAAUCAUGUGGACACACAAAAACAGUAAUGGUAAAUAUUGGAUUGUCUCCCAACAAGCGCUUUUCUUUAAUGCCUUUUUAGCUAGGCAUGAUGAUGGCAAUGAUGCUCACAUAAAAGAUAAGAAUUGAAACAUAAAGAAAGCAUCAUGAAGAACAUGACUAGCACAAGCCUAACCAACUUCCUAUGCAUAGAGAUUUUGUGAGCAAACAACUUAUGGAAACAAUAAUAAACUAGCAUAGGAUGGUACAACAAGCAUAACUUCAAGAUUUUCAACACAUAGGGAGGAAACUUAACAUUAUUGCAAUUCCUACAAGCAUAUAUUCCUCUCUCAUAAUAAUUUUCAGUAGCAUCAUGAAUGAAUUCAAAAAUAUAACCAGCACCUAAAGCAUUCUUUUCAUGAUCUACAAGCAUAGAAAAUUUACUACUCUCCACAUAAACAAAAUUCUUCUCAUGAAUAAUAGUGGGAGCAAACUCAACAAAAUAAUUAUCAUGUGAGGCAUAAUCCAAUUGAAAACUAAAAUCAUGAUGACAAGUUUCAUGGUUAUCAUUAUUCUUAAUAGCAUACAAGUCAUCACAAUAAUCAUCAUAGAUAGCAACUUUGUUCUCAUAAUUAAUUGGAACCUCUUCCGAAAUAGUGGAAUCAUCACUAAAUAAAAUUGACACUCUUCCAAAUCCACUUUCAUGUUCAUCACAAUAAGAUUCAACAUCCUCCAAAAUAGUGGGAUCAUUACUUCCUAAAGUUGACACUCUUCCAAACCACUUUCAUCAAUAUAAUCAUCAUAAAUAGGAGGCAUGCUUUCAUCAUAAUAAAUUUGCUCAUCAAAACUUGGGGGACUAAAAAUAUCAUAUUCAACAAACAUAGCUUCCCCAAGCUUGUGGCUUUGCAUAUCAUUAGCAUCAUGGAUAUUCAAGGAAUUCAUACUAACAACAUUGCAAUCAUGCUCAUCAUUCACCUAUUUCAUGCCAAACAUUUUAAUGCAUUCUUUUUCUAGCACUUGAGCACAAUUUUCCUUUCCAUCAUUCUCACGAAAGAUAUUAAAAAGACGAAGCGUAUGAGACAAACCCAUCUCCAUUUUUUGUAUUUUUCUUUUAUAAAAUGAGCUAGUGAUAAAACAAGAAACAAAAAGAUUCGAUUGCAAGAUCUAAAGAUAUACCUUCAAGCACAUACCUCCCCGGCAACGGCGCCAGAAAAGAGCUUAGUUGACGGGGUGUGAGUGAGUGCCCUUUAUCUCGCCUCCCCAGCAACGGCGCCAGAAAUGAGCUUGAUGUCUACUACACAACCUUCUUCUUGUAGACGUUGUUGGGCCUGCAAGUGCACAGGUUUGUAGGACAGUAGCAAAUUUCCCUCAAGUGGAUGACCUAAGGUUUAUCAAUCCGUAGAAGGCGUAGGAUGAAGAUGGUCUCUCUCAAACAACCCUGCAACCAAAUAACAAAGAGUCUCUUGUGUCCCCAACACACCCAAUACAAUGGUAAAUUGUAUAGGUGCACUAGUUCGGUGAAGAGAUGGUGAUACAAGUGCAAAAUAGAUGGUAGAUAAAGGUGUUUGUAAUCUGAAAUUAUAAAAAUAGCAAGGUAACAAUUGAUAAAAGUGAGCGUAAACAGUAUUGCAAUGAUAGGAAACAAGGCCUAGGGUUCAUACUUUCACUAGCGCAAGUUCUCUCAACAAUAAUAACAUAGAUAGAUCAUAUAACAAGCCCUCAACAUGCAACAAAGAGUCACUCCAAAGCGACUAAUAGCGAAGAACAAAUGUAGAGAUUAUGGUAGGGUACGAAACCACCUCAAAGUUAUUCUUUCGGACCGAUCUAUUAAAGAGUUCUUACUAGAAUAACACCUUAAGACACAAAUCAACCAAAACCCUAAUGUCACCUAGAUACUCCAUUGUCACCUCAAGUAUCCGUGAGCAUGCUUAUACGAUAUGCAUCACACAAUCUCAGAUUCAUCUAACCAACACAAAGUACUUCAAAGAGUGCCUCAAAGUUUCUACCGGAGAGUCAAGAACGUGUGCCAACCCCUAUGCAUAGGUUCGUGGGCAGAACCCGCAAGUUGGCCACCAAAACAUACAUCAAGAGGUACAUUGAUAGAGGCAAAGGUGUCCCGUCUUUCGAUGAGAUGAUGGAUAUCGCUUUGGUGGAAGUCGACUUUGACGAUCCGACUACAAACAUGCACGAUGUUGCGCCUUAGCAAUCGCUAAACCAACUCCGAGAGGUUAUUGACCACGCUAGAGCACAAUCAACCUGACCACGUAGGUCUAUUCCUGCAAGCAAUCGAAGAACAAGCAAGAAUAUGAUAAAAGCAAUCUGAAUAUUGCGAGUAUAUAUGAAUUAUUGAUAAAGGUGGAGAUCCGUAAGCGGUCUUGGUCUGGUCGUUGGACACAAACGAAGUACACGAAGUUGCAAUGGUUAACUUUUAACUAAACAAAUCCCAAGGGAAAAGCUACUAGAUGGAUCUACUUAUAUAGGAGCAAGGGGUGGCGGCCGAGGAGGUGGGAGGACGUCCCAAGGCAGCCUAAAACUAACCCUAGGUCGUACAAGGCCAAUGGGCCCAAGUGGAGGUGAUGCAACACCUUUGGACUUGUUGUUUGACUCAGAUUCUGCUGUAGCGUCUGAUUGUUUAAUCGAUAUCUCAACGCUCCGGACGAAUUUGAAGGUGAAUCCAAUUGUGCUGGAAAGAACACAAAAUCUAGAAUUCAACAAAAAAAGAAUCACCCAAUUCGGAGUCCGUAUGAAAAAGUUGUUGGCGUUUUGAGUCAGGUAUGUCUGUGCAGUCCGAAUCUGAAUCCAGAACGUAAGAGACUUGGACUCUAUCUUCUCUUGGCCCAAAAGUGACGUGAGAGAACUUUUUGAACAGCACCUAAACAUCUCUUUCUCCCUUAUCUUCAUAUGUGAAUUGUACAAAUAUCCCAUACACCUGUAAUUAGACAAAACACAAAAUUGUGUGAAGUAUUUUUGUCUUGGAUAACAUAAAUAGAUUAUUGAAUAGUUUGCACUAGAAAUCACCUGAGAAAUAUGCAAGUAUGCAAUAUUUUUGGUUGUAUCCAAGGUAGUCAUGUCCUCAUCAUCCUCCCCCUUUUGAAAACAAAGCCGUCCUCGGCGUUGCUUAAUCUGAUAUGUGGCUAAGAAAAGAGACAAGGUAUACAUGUUGUAUAUGUAUAUGUCAUCCAUUUUUACUUUCCUUGAUUUUUGCACAUAUGACACAUGUAUACAUGAGUAACUUUCAUAUAUCAUAAAAUAUAAAGGCAAAAUAUUAUCAUAAGUAGAAAGCAUAAAAAUAUUGAAACUCAGUUUGCACAUAUAAGUGAAGCUCUUAUUCCUAUCAAAUGAUUGACAAUAUUCAUCAUUAAACCAUCCCAAUAUUGGUGAAUAAACCUUACUUGCAUCAAAUUUACAUGCUACAACAUUCUUAAAUAAGCAAACAUGCAGUAAGUCAUUGGACACAGAAUCAUCACCACGAUUAGAGGUCAUAUCGAAAUGAUUAAACAUUGGUUCUUUUGCAUCAAUAGUUAAUUCAAUGGGUGCACUCAAAAUUGUUGGUAUUUCAGUUGUUUGAUCACAUGAUGCAUUCAUGAUAGUAACAUGAUUCUCUAAAAUAGGUGGCGUGCUCAAAUCAACAGGUAACUCAACACAUGAUGUAUUUAAGUUAAUUAGGGAUGCAUCAUUCUCAUGUGAAGUUAUAUCAUCAAUACCUUUACUGUUACCUUGUCGCAAAGACGUAGCUGAUGUCGGUAUGGACAAUGACAAUGUACCAUACACUUGAGAUGAUGUCACACUCACAAUCUGAGGUGUGGCUGCUCUAGUAGGUGCAACGGUGGAGGAAUCAACCGAUGGUAGUAAGCAUGAAUUGGAAUAGUAGUUGUUGUAGUCACCCAAUGCAUCCUCCUGUAACUGUCUCUCAAAGGUACAAGCACGAACAUACAUACCAGUAAUGCAACGAGGAAUAUACCUAAAUCUUGCCUGAAUAUCAUGGUUCAAACCACCAAAAAAUCUAUUCAUUGUAUCAUCCUCAGAUUCUUCUAUGUCACAAUGAUGCAUAUAAGAUUUGAACUCUUGGUAGUAAGCAUGAACGGUGUUAUUGCCUUGUUUAAAUUGUUCAAAUUUGCGAAGCAAUUCACAACGAUAGUAAAGAGGGAAAAAUUGUUGUCUCUUUACAUGUUUCAAAUCUUUCCAAGUUGUGGGUUGGUUAUCAAUGUUUUUCUUACAAUGCACACUCCACCAAACAGAAGCAAAGCCAGUAAAUGCUCUAGUGGCAGCUCGUACUCGCUCAAGUUCAGAAAAGUCAUGGUUACUAAAAACUUGUUCUACUUCAAACUCCCAAGCUAGAUAAAUAGCAGGAUUAAAUCUACCCUCAAAUGACGGUAAAGAGAUAACCUUACCGUGUACUUAUGUGUGUUGUCCCAACUCUCGUGAUGGUGAAGAUGUGUCCGUCGUCCAAGAACUUCUAUCCCCGAAACCUGUCAUGAUUAGUAGAAACAAGAAACAAAAUUCGAGAAUAAUGUUCCUAUGAACUACUAGGAUGUGGUUGUAAAGUGCUCACAGUAAAGCAAAUAUCAAUAUCUUACAAGUUCUUACCAUGCGGCAGGUGGUGACAGGCAACCAACGAUGUCAAAUAACUCCGAAGAUUGUGUAAAGCGAUUGCCAGGGGAACGUACGUAUACACGGUGUAGAAAUAUGUGGAGCUGGGUUGGCUAUAUAUGGUAGCAAAAAAUUAGCAAUAAUCAAUUCAGAGAUGCAAUGUUGAAUAAACGCUCAACGACGGUACUGUGCGGGUCCUAGGAUAGACCGGACUAGAGACGCGAGCCUAGAACACUAAUGAGGUCACGGCGUAGCACAACUAGCAUCAAUGAACGAUACUAAGUAGCUCUUGACAGCAAGAUAUAAGUGAAUAUCACAACCGCAGUGAAGAUAAUGAUGAAAAACAACUGCCAAGCAGGAUAUAGAACAACUCUCUCUCCAACUUUCCUCUUGAAAAGUUUGAGCCAAUUUUCUGAUAAAUUCUUUCAAAGAAUGCUACUAACUCAAGUUUUCCAAUGCAAAAAGAAUCACUCAAUUCCGAGUUGAUAUGAGGUGUCAAAGAAUUCUAAAACUGGCCUGAAAAAUUGGAACAAGUUGUGUUCAUGAACUUUGGAGGGCAAAAAGACCUAUUUAGAAGCCAAUUUUGAGGUGUCAAAUAUUGAACUACCUUUUGCAACUAUUCAGAUGCGGCUCGUCGCUAGCUUCGAUUUGAGUACUCACGGAGCCAAAACGGACUUCGUAUGAGGAAGAUACACCUGUUUUACUGAACAGUGCGCAAAACAGAUUCCAAUCCGAAUUCAGGUACGAGAUUGAUUCUAGAUAGAUCCGAUUUUUUUUCUUCUCUCCUUUUUUUUCUCACACUUUUUUUUAUUUUUCUUCUCUCUCUUUCUCUUUUUUUCUUUCCUUUUAUCUCCCUUUUUUUCUCUCUCUUUUGUUUUCUCCCUCUUUCCAAGACAAACUAGAUAAGAUGCAGAUUGGAUCAGGCAAAGAUGUGAAUGACCUCAACUAUGAUUAUGACAAUGAACAGUGCGUAGCACGUGGUGAAAAUUAAUAGAUGGGAUGGUGGACGGCGGAAGGGGUAAUGAUGUAGCGGCGGCGUGACUAAUGUGAACAGAACUCGAAAAUCUAAAGGAACUAGACACUAAGACCAGCAACUGACACGACGAUGCAACCGAUAAUUCAACUAUGCAAGCAAUGAAUAGAAAAUUGCAAAGGCUCAGACUGGCUUGGAUAAAGGAUGAACAGAUCUAACUUUUUUUUGUGGCUUUUUCAUGGACUGUAGGUAUGAAUGACAGAUGCGAUCUAAACUAUGAAAAACUGUAAAAUCUCACCGAGCAACCUGAAAACUGAUACCACUUGAUAGAGGCGAAGGUGUCCCGUCUUUCGAUGAGAUGAUGGAUAUCGCUUUGGUGGAAGUCGACUUUCACGAUCCGACUACAAACGUGCAUGACGUUGCGCCUUAGCAAUCGCUAAACCAACUCCGAGAGGUUAUUGACCACGCCAGAGCACAAUCAACCUGACCACGAAGGUCUAAUCCUACAAGCAAUCAAAGAACAAGCAAGAAUAUGAUAAAAGCAAUCUGAAUAUUGUGAGUAUAUAUGAAGUACUGAUAAAGGUAGGGAUCCGUAAGCGGUCUUGGUCUGGUCGUUGGACACAAACGAAGUAUACGAAGUUGCAAUGGCUAACUUUUAACUAAACAAAUCCCAAGAGAAAAGCUACUAGAUGGAUCUACUUAUAUAGGAGCAAGGGGUGGCGGCCAAGGAGGUGGGAGGACGUCCCAAGGCAGCUUAAAACUAACCCUAGGUCGUACAAGGCCAAUGGGCCCAAGUGGAGGUGAUGCAACACCUUUGGACUUGUUGUUUGACUCGGAUUCUCCUGCAGCGUCUGAUUGUUUCGUCGAUAUCUCAAUGCUCCAGACGAAUUUGAAGGUGAAUCCAAUUGUGCUGGAAAGAACACAAAAUCUAAAAUCCAACAAAAAAAUCACCCAAUUCGGAGUCCGUAUGAAAAAGUUGUUGGCGUUUUGAGUCAGGUAUGUCUGUGCAGUCCGAAUCUGAAUCCAGAACGUGAGAGACUUGGACUCUAUCUUGUCUUGGCCCAAAAGUGACGUGAGAGAACUUUUUGAACAGCACUUAAACAUCUCUUUCUCCCUUAUCUUCAUAUGUGAAUUGUACAAAUAUCCCAUACACCUGUAAUUAGACAAAAAACAAAAGUGUGUGAAGUAUUUUUGUUCUAGAUAACAUAAAUAGAUUAUUGAAUAGUUUGCACUAGAAAUCACCUAACAAAUAUGCAAGUAUGCAAUAUUUUUGGUCGUAUCCAAGGUAGUCAUGUCCUCAUCACACAUGAUAUCCCAUUGUCACCACAGAUAAGCACGACAAGACAUACAUCAAGUGUUCUCAUAAAAGACUCAAUUCGAUAAGAUAACUUCAAAGGGGAAACUCAAUUCAUCACAAGAGAGUACAGCGGGAGAAACAUCAUAAGAUCCAACUAUAAUAGCAAAGCUCAGGAUACAUCAAGAUCGUGCCAUAGAGGGAACACGAGAGAGAACACGAGAGAGAGAGAUCAAACACAUAGCUACUGGUACGUACCCUCAGCCCCGAGGGUGAACUACUCCCUCCUCGUCAUGGAUAGCNNNNNNNNNNNNNNNNNNNNNNNNNNNNNNNNNNNNNNNNNNNNNNNNNNNNNNNNNNNNNNNNNNNNNNNNNNNNNNNNNNNNNNNNNNNNNNNNNNNNNNNNNNNNNNNNNNNNNNNNNNNNNNNNNNNNNNNNNNNNNNNNNNNNNNNNNNNNNNNNNNNNNNNNNNNNNNNNNNNNNNNNNNNNNNNNNNNNNNNNNNNNNNNNNNNNNNNNNNNNNNNNNNNNNNNNNNNNNNNNNNNNNNNNNNNNNNNNNNNNNNGAGAUAGGGGGCCGCGCCCUGUAGGGGGGGGGGGUAUCUCCUGGGCUCCUCGAGGAUCUUCUGACUUGAUCUCCAAGCCUCCAGGAUGAUAAUCUUCCAGAAAAACACGUUGCCGAAGGUUUCAUUCCGUUUGGACUCCUUUUGAUAUUCAUUUUCUUCGAAAUACUGAAACAGGCAAUAAAACAACAAUAUGGGCUAGCCCUCCGGUUAAUAGGUUAGUCCCAAAAGUAAUAUAAAAGUGUAUAAUAAAGCCCGUAAUCAUUCAAAACAGAUAAUAAAAUAGCAUGAAUGCUUCAUAAAUUAUAGAUACGUUGGAGAUGUAUCAUCCGACUGUCCGGAUACCCCCUAAUCCAGGACUCCCUCACCAAUAGUUUCAAAUUUGAAUAGUUUAAAUUUGAAUUAUUUGAUGAACUAAUUUGUAGAAGAAGUGCAUCCAGUUUUUGCACAUAAAAUUUCUUUGCGUUUCAAAUGUGAAAACACAUAAGUACCCUAACUAUUACAAAGAUUCCCUCCGGUUUGUUCGAAGCGGCACUUUCCAGAUAUAUAAGUCCGGAAAGUCACUAUAGAAGAAAGUGAUGACAGUGAAGCCUAUCACAUCCCAGAGUGGGAUCUUUGGGUGUGAAACUUUUUCUUCGCAUGUGUCCCUUUGCACCAUAACCAUGGACAAUCUUCAUCAUUUAACUGGAUGCUCGAAUCAAUAUUCACUGUGAAUGGAGCAAUUUCAUCCAACUUUUCACAAUCUUCUGACAUGUCUGUCUUGUCAUCCACUCCCACGAUGUUUCUUUUCCGUGAAAGAACUAUGUGGCGCUUUGGCUCAUUGUAUGAUGCAUUCGCUUCCUUAUCUUUUCUUUUUCUUGGCCUGUUAGACAUGUCUUUCACAUAGAAAACCUGCGCCAUAUCGUUGGCUAGGACGAAUGGUUCGUCUGCAUAUGCAAGAUUGUUGACAUCCACUGUUGUCAUUCCAUACUGCGGGUCAUCCGUUACCCCGCCUCGUGUCAUAUUGACCCAUUUGCACCAAAACAAAGGGACCUUCAAACCACCUCCAUAGUUAAGUUCCCAUAUGUCCUCUAUGUAACCAUAAUAUGUUUCCUUUCCCGUGUUGGUUGUUGCAUCAAAGCGGACACCAUUGUUUUGGUUCGUGCUCUUCUUAUCUUGGGCGAUCGUGUAAAAUGUAUUCCCAUUUAUCUCGUACCCUUUGAAAGUCAUUAUAUUCGAAGAUGGUAACUGGGACAGCAAGUACAUAUCAUCUUCAAUAUCGCCAUCAUGCAUGGCACAUGUCUGCAACCAACCGGCAAAAGUCCUUGUUUGUUCACGUGUAAUCCAGUCGUCAGACUGCUCUGGGUGUUUGGAGUGUACAAAAUUCUUGUGUUCCUCCAUAUACGGAGCCACCAAGGCAGAAUUCUAUAGAACUGUGUAGUGGGCUUCAAUGAGAGAAUGCCCAUCCAUACAUAUUAUUUCAUCCCCUCCUAGCGUGCCUUUUCCAUCUAGUCUGUCCUUAUGGCGCGAUUCAGGAACACCAAUCGGCUUAAGGUCAGGAAUAAAGUCAAUACAAAACUCAACGACCUCCUCAUUUUCAUGGCCCUUUGAGAUGCUUCCUUCUGGCCUAGAACGGUUAUGAACAUAUUUCUUCAAGACUCCCAUGGACCUCUCAAAGGGGAACAUAUUGUGUAAAAAUACAGGACCCAAAACAUUAAUCUCUUCGCAUAGGUGAACUAGGACGUGCGUCAUGAUGUUGAAGAAGGAUGGUGGGAACACCAACUCGAAACUGACAACACAUUGCACCAAAUCAUUCUGUAACCUUGGUAUGAUUUCUGGAUCAAUUACCUUCCGAGAGAUUGCAUUAAGGAAUGCACAUAGCUUCACAAUGGCUAAUCGAACGUUUUCCGGUAGAAGCCCCCUCAAUGCAACCGGAAGCAGUUGCGUCAUAAUCAUGUGGCGGUCAUUAUACUUUAGGUUCUGGAACUUUUUCUCUGCCAUAUUUAUUAUUCCCUUUAUAUUCGAUGAGAAGCCAGACGGUACCUUCAUACUGAGCAGGCAUUCAAAUAAGAUUUCCUUCUCUUCUUUGGUAAGAGCGUAGCUGGCAUGACCCUGAUGUAUGACGUCUUUUCCGUGCAUACGUUGCAGGUCCUCCCGUCCCUUCGGUGUAUCUUUUGUCUUCCCAUACACGCCCAAGAAGCCAAGAAGGAUCACGCAAACAUUCUUCAUCACGUGCAUCACAUUGUUUGCAGAGCGGACCUCUAGGUGUUUCCAAUAGGGUAGGUCCGAAAAUAUAGAUUUCUUAUUCCACAUGGGUGCGCGUCCGUAAGCGUCCUUCGGAACAGGUUGUCCGCCAGGACCCUUUCCAAAGAUUACCUUCAAAUCCUUGACCAUAUCAUGUACAUCAGCACCAGUACGGUGGCGAGGCUUCAUCAUGUGAUCCGCCUCACCUUUGAAAUGCUUGCCUUCUUUGCUUCGUAUGUACUCUCGGGCAAUUCGUUGUCCUUUGGAAGCAUAUUCUUUAUCAUUACUAGCAACUUUCAAAAUCCCUUAUCAGAUACACCAUUCUCUGCCUUCCAUUGCAGCAAUUCCAGUGUGGUGCCCAGCUUUUUCUUGUCACCUUCACAAUUCGGGUACAACAAUUUCUUGUGAUCCUCUAACAUGCGCUGCAACUUCUUCUUCUCCCUUUCACUUGCGUAGUUUCUCUUUGCAUCGGCAAUGGCCCGACCUAGAUCAUCAGCGGGCUCAUCUGAUGCCUCUUCUUUAGCUUCUUCUUGCAUUGCCGGCUCAGCUUCUUCUCGCAUUGUUAUAUCAUUGUAUUCAGGAAACCCAUGGCCAGGAUAGCUAUCGUCAUCCUCUUCUUCUUCAUUGUCUUCCAUCAUAACCCCUCUUUCUCCGUUCUUGGUCCAAACAUUAUAGUGGGGCAUGAAACCGGACUCAUAAAGGUGGACGUGAAUGGUUCUUGAGCUAGAGUAAUUGUGAUCAUUCUUAUAGCCAGCACAUGGACAAGGCAUAAAACCAUCCGCCCGCUUGUUUGCGUGAGCCACAAUCAGAAAAGUAUGCACGCCAUCAACGAACUAGGGAGAGCAUCGGUCAUUGUACAUCCAUUGCCGGCUCAUCUUCAUUACACAGCACCGAAUAGACCAAAUUAAUACAAGUUCAUACAUAAAGUUCAUACAACACUUAAAUGCAACAUACAAAUAACUCUCUAGCUAAAGCAUUUAAAUGCAACAACACAUACGAUCAAGAUCGCAACUGAGGUAACAAUUGAUCCAACAUCAUAAUGAUACCAAGCCUCACUAUCAAUGGCAUAUUUUCUAAUCUUUCUAAUCUUCAACCGCAUUUUCUCCAUCUUGAUCUUGUGAUCAUCGACGACAUCGACAACAUGCAAUUCCAAUUCCAUCUUCUCCCCCUCAAUUCUUUUCAAUUUUUCUUUCAAAUACUCGUUUUCUCUUUCAACUAAAUUUAACCUCUUGACAAUAGAGUUGGUUGGAAUUUCCGGUUCACAUACCUCCUAGAUAAAAAUAUCUAUGUCAACUUGAUGGGCAUAAUUUGUCAUAAACAUGAAAUGCAACAAAUAGUUUUAAAAGAGAAUAUACCACAUCCGAAUCAUAACACGGACGAGGGCCGACGGGGACGGAUAUCAAAACCAUGGCACUAUGUAUAACAAACAAUGUACGGGUAAGAUAAUUAUACAAGUAACUAUAUAUCUAAAGCAAACAAACAUGAUUUUUUUAUAUAAAAAAGAUAAGAACAAGAGGCUCACCACAAGGUGGUGCCGGCGGCGGGUCGGUGCGGACGAUCGACGGUGGUUAUGACAGAGACGCGAAGGCACUAAGUAAACCACGCCUACAUAUGCAAACUAAGAGUUAUUUUAAGCUCAAAUUGCAUAUAAAUCAAAUAAACUACCACAUAUAAUUCCUCCCAAAUUACUAAAACCCACAAAUUAAUCACUAUAUAAAGCAUUGCAAAAGCUAAUCUAGCAAUGAGAGAUGAAAGGACAAAGUUGCUAACCUUUGUGAUCACUUGAAUGGAUGGGGGCCUUCAAAUCUUGACCAAAUUUGGGAAAAAUGUGUGAUGGAGCUCGGGGGAAGAGGGGAAGAACAGAGAGAAGAGGGGAAAGGGGGAAGAACAGAGCAAGCUGGACGAAGGGUUUAUAUGUAGGAUGACCUUUAGUACCGGUUCGUGGCACGAACCGGUACUAAAGGUGCUGGAGGGGCCCCAGUCUGACAACAUCCUGCCACCACGCUCUUUAGAACCGGUUCGUGGCACGAACCGGUGCUAAAGGUUCGCCACGAACUGGUACUACUGAGAUCGGCCCGCCUAGCCGUUGGAACCGGCACUAAUGGUCACAUUAGUGCCGGCUCAAUUUCAAACCGGGACUAAUGAGCUGCACAUUAGACCCUUUUUCUACUACUGUGAGAAGGCCCUGAUCUACACUUCCACCAAGAGAAAUUUGAUCCCCCUGCUAAUCCCUUGCGGAUCUUGUUACUCUUGGGUGUUUGAGCACCCUAGACAUUUGAGGUCACCUCGAAGCCACAUUCCAUUGUGGUGAAGCUUCGUGGUGUUGUUGGGAGCCUUCAAUUAAGUUGUGAAGAUUGCCCCAACCUUGUUUGUAAAGGUUCGAUCGCCGCCUUCAAGGGCACCACGAGUGGAAUCACGGCAUCUCGUAUUGUGUGAGUGCGUGAGGAGAAUACGGUGUCCCUAGUGGCUUCUUCAGGAGCAUUGUGCCUCCACACCGCUCCAACGGAGUCGUACUUCCCCACGAAGGGAAGGAACUUUGGUAACACAUCCUUGUCUCCACUGGCUCCACUUGUGCUUAUUUCUUACCUUUACUUUGUGCAAGCCUUACUUGUGUUACAUCUCUUGCUUGCUUGUGUUGCUUGUGUUGCUUGUGUUGCUUGCAUCAUAUAUGUUGCUCACCUAAUUGCUUAUCUAGAAACCCUGUUUGUUGCAAACCCUAAUUUGUUAAGAAAAGUUAAAAAUUGGUAGCUGCCUAUUCACCCCCUCCCCUCUAGUCAUAUCGAUCCUUUCACCCAUGAAACAAGUCUAGGAGUAAGAUCUGAAGGCAUCGUUCAUUCCCUCAUAACAUGUCCUUCUCACAUGAGUUCUUCUAAUAAAUAGCAACGACGUCAUCACCUGACAAGGAUUCAUGAUUUCUUUCCUUUCCUUGCUCGAUCUCCGUAGAAUCUAGACUAACGUGGGUACUGUACUACUAUACAUACCUAGAGGUUCAAAGACUGACAUUGGUGCGGGAAGACGAUAUCAUAGAUUUUGCUAUGGCCGUGGACAACGUCGGUGCCGGGAUAGGGACAACAAUGAGGCAGGACGAGAGGGCAAAGCGCUACAUGUCAUCGAUCAUGCCAUCCAAAUUGAGCGAGGGUUGAUGUUAAAGAAACCUAAAUGUUAAGCACCUCACGUCAACCAGAGGGUUUUCUCUGAGCAAAUGUGUUGUGACAUGUUUAAUUUUCGUGUAUGAAUCUCAAAGCAAUAUACAUGGCAAUCACUGUUUGCUCCCACACACCACUCUGAGCCAACUAUGAGCCGACGAUACUAAACGGUUUGCUCAGGAUGGCAAUCUGAGCGAACACAUCUGGCAUGACAAAUUUCUGUUUUUAGAGCACGUCAAUUUUCAUCAGUUCCCUUUGAUGUAGCGUGACAAUUUUCUUCUCCAGCAUGGCAAAUUCUGAACAAGUUUUUCUAUUGAAAAAACCAUUUUUUUUCUAGGCUGGCAAGUCUCCAUGUUGCAUCAUGGCAAAUCCCUGAAAACGCAUAACAAAUACUUUGUUGCAACAUGGCAAAUCCAUGACAAUCUUUCUGCUAGCAUGGCAUUUUUUUUCUUUACAAUAUGACAAAUCUUUAUAACAUAGCAUGGUAAAUAUAUUUAUUUUAGCAUGGCAGUCUCAAGUGUUUGCUAGGAAUGAGUUUUUAAGCGAACACUCCUAGAUUGCGGCGUUCGUUUGGAUGACCUCCCAUAGGGAGAGAUAAUUCGCUCGGGUGGCCUUCAUGAGAAAACGCCAGCGUAAUAUUAGGGUCAAGAAAAGAAGGAAAGUCGAAGGAUGACAAUCUGGGUAAUCUCGUUAUAAGAAAACUUUUGUAGCACUCACUAAUAACAAUUUCCGUGUUUAUUUGCCCUAUGUGAUUUUGUUGCUCUCAUGGUUCUGCAUCAAGAGAAUGAACACAGCCUAGUUACGCCUCCCUAUCUAAACUUGACAUGAUUGACCCAAGCUCGAUGGCCGCAAGUACCCGUGUAUAUUUGAGGCAGGUGACUAAGCAUAUAUUUGCGGAGUGAUCUCAAAACAAUGUUGAAAAGGUGAGGAUAAGAGCAACUCUAGCAGACCCCGCAUUCCACCGACCCACAUAACUCAUUUGCAGUUCGCAAAACAACUUUUGGUGGCCGGCGCGGGCUGGCACAGAUGCAGAACCCGCAUAAUGGACCCGUAAAAAGCAUAUUCGCGGAAUAUACUUUUUUAUGGGUCGUCUUAUGCAUGUUCUGAUCUGGCGCAGCUCGUCCCAACCCGUAAAACUUAGAUUGAUCUAUCAUAAUGCUUUUAUUUGCUUUUGCAACAACUUUAGAUACAAAAUAUAUCACCAAAUCUUGGCUAGAAUAGCAGAACCAAAAAAAACAAGAACCACAAGGCAUUUCAGAAGAUUUCCAACUUUCAUAACUGCUCUCACUAGUUGAAGCAAUAUCUUCUCCAUGCACUCAUUGUUGAUCUGUGGAUUCUUGAUCUUGUUUUGUUCAUUCUUGAUGCUUUCUUCAUUCUUCAUCUUUGGUUUCGAAGAAGUCGACGUUGCUUCCCCUCUAGUUGCACAUGCAGCCGCAUCAUUGCCUUCAAUUGUACUAAGGAGUGCACUAACAUCUAUUAAGUUUCUUUCUAUCAACAAAUCAAUGUAUUGGCCUUCCAAAACCGAAAUGAGCAUACAUCGUCCUACACAAAAGAUUGAGCAAUCUCGAAGUGAGCUAUGGUACUUUAACUUAAGAAUGAGCUAUGGAACGAGCUACCGCAAGUGCACGUACCCCGUCAUUUUCGCAUUUGUAUACCCAUCCGGGGUGCUUCGGCGUGCCCGAAGUGAGCCGCGGCACUUGGCGCGGGCAGUCAUCACACUGUAUGAGCGGCAUCGGCAAUCCACAAAGACGUUGCGCGAGCACCGAGCCCGGCGAACGGCCGGAGGCGUCCAUGCCCGCAAACCUUCGGCGGCGGCGGGCGGACGAACCCGCGCCUGCAUGCGGCGAUGCGCCCUUGCCUGGGCUACGGGAGAGGCUCCCCGACCACUCCAUCGCCUGGGGCAGCAACCGGCGACCGAAAAAAAGCCAAAUUCGGCGGUCGGCGAUGAAGCGCCGCAGAUCUGCAAAUCCGGCGGCCCGCCGACGCAGGAAGGAAGGGAAGGGAGGCCUCGUGCGCGUGGAGGCCUUCCGGCGUGCUCCUGCCGGCUGCUCUCACCGGAAUCUUGGGCGGCGGCCGACGGCUGCGCGAGGGGGGAGGAGGGGUGGUUGGUGGGAGAAAGCGCGGGAUGAAAUGCCUCCCCCCCCUCCCCACCAACCGCUUCCGUUUAUAUGCAGGGCACCGCAGCCGCGGGGGGAACCCGCGUUUUUCCGGGUUGGGGCGGAGAAUUUGCCUCGCCCUGCAAAAAGUUUUGCGGGCCGGGAAGGAUGCGGGUUCUGAUCGGGAUGCUUUUUCGGCCCCGACCCGCAUUUUGACGGUUAUUUUACGGGUCGGGACGGGAUGCGGGGUCUGCUAGAGUUGCUUUCCAUUUAGCUCGACCUAGACCACAACUUUUUGAUAUCUGCGGCAGGAGAACCGAACAGAAUUAACCGUGAACUAUACGUCCAGGAAAAAUAAAGGGAAACACUUAGUGCCUCCCUUAAACGUACACUAUAUAUAGAUGCCUAUUUUUGCUCUCCCUUUGACCUUCUCUCCAACCAGAACUAAUCAAACGCACUAUCGUCCAUACAUGCAGCUAAUCCUGCUCUUAACCACUCGUAUCCAAACCGCCCCGGCCUAUAAAUCAAGCCAUUUCCCUUGCAUUUCAUCAUCAAGCGCAAUAAGAUCAAAGCAAUAAACUCCAUCUCGCAGCAAAGUGAAGAAUAAGCCAUCUGGGUCCAAGCUCAACUAUCAAGCUACGAUGGAGAUGAAGAAGAUCGCCUUCGCCGCCCUCAUGGGCGCUGCCUCGGCCACCGCCGUUGUGGCCUCCGAAGCAGCACCAGCCAGCGACGCCAACACCGUGGCAGCCGCCCCCGCCGCAGCCCUCGCCGCGGUCUCCUUCAUCGCAUAUUUCCUCUACUGAUGGGGACAAGGCAGGAGGGAGAUCGAUAUUAGCAUCACCUCAGUUGCACCCGCGCAUGCAUCCAUGCGAACAAUGGGGUGUUGGCUUUUCCGCUAAUUUCAUUUCAUUUGUAACCCGAUUAUGUGAACUGGUGAUGAUACGAGUUAUUUGAAUAUAUAUAAUUUUCAUUCUGUCAUAUACAUCAACCAGUGCAUUUCUUGAUAUUUACCUUGUUUAUUUGAAUAUAUAAUUAUGAGGGCAGCACAAGAUCGACACACUCACACACAUGCCAUGAGGGCGGUUUUCACACCACGACAUCACCGCACCCAACUCGUCCUAUCAUAACAAAUAUCAGAUCUAACCUGGAAAAAAAAAUCAGAUCUACAUGGAGAUCACUCUGAUAAAUCUUACGUACACCCUCCAUUUCAAUGAAUAAAGCGUGCACAAGUUUGCACAUUUAAAUUUGACCAUUAAUUUAAGCAACAAACUGUGAGUUAUGUGCCAUAAAAGUUAUAUUGUUGAAUUCAUAUUUAGAAAAAGGUUUUCAUGGCAUAACUUUUAAGUCAUAUAACUUGUAUAUUAUUGCUCUAAUUGAUGUCAAAGUUGAAUCUUAAGAUCCGCACGUGCCUUAUUCAUUGAAAUGAAGCUAGCAUACGUCAUAAAUCAUGGGACAUACUCUGCUUCCCAAAAUGGGACAUACUCAUUAGUUUUGUCCUAAUUCUUUUUGUUUGACCAAGUCUAAAAAAAGUGUCUAUGUCUAAUAUCAAAUAAAUACACUAUGAAUACAUAUUUCAUGAUGUACCUAUUGUAUUGAUGUCGAUAUCUAUAAAUUUGGUCAGACUUAAGAAAAUAUGAAUUAGAACAAAACAAAUACUCACAUGGCUUAUAUUUUCGGGAGAAGAUGAGUUUAGGCUCUAACGCGAACAUGUGUGGGUAUCAUACAUCAGUGUUCAAUUUGUAGAUUGAAUCCGGAUGGACAACUGCCCAAGAUAUAUGUUACCAACACAAAACAUGGUCAAACUUAUAAGAAGAUAUGACUUAGAACAAUACAAAUAUGACUUAUAUUUUGGGAAGAAGAAAAGUUUAAUCCCCAAGGCGAACACGUGUGGGUGUCACACAUCAAUGUUCCAAUCAUAUAUUGAACACGGAUGGACAACCUAUGCAAGAUAUGUCUUACCAAUACCACACAUGGCCAAACUUAAGAACAUAUGUCGUAGAGCAAUAAAAUAUGACUUAUAUUUUGGGAUGAAAAUGAAGAUUUGAGCCCCUAACGUGAACACUUGUGGGUGUUGUACAUCAUUGUUCAAUUCAUAGAUUGAACAUGGACGAACAACCUACACAAGGUAUGUCUUACAAAUACCAAUGGGUCCGCACACUAAAUUUCCUAUUUUGAGUAAUCUUGAUUUGAGUUGGCGAUGGGUAGUCAUUCUACCGUCUCCAUGAGUCAUGUAUAUCAUGUACAGGUUGCAUUGAUCUACUUGGCACGCCCAUGGGUUCCCUAAGGAAAUACUGAGGAGUACUUGGCAAGAGACCGCGAGUCCCACUCAUGACGGUCUGAAGUUCUACUCGGAGAAAACAAAGUCUCCAAUACCUCGACUAUUAAAAUAAGGCGACCACUAAGCGCCGGUGCGCCGGCCGAAACCUUUCGGCCGGUCGGCCCCUAGCCGCCCGAUACAUGCAUCCACAGCCGCUCGAUUGGAUCCGCAAUGUUUUCUUCCUUCGCCACAGGAAACAAAAGAAAGCCGUCCGCUCGCAUCGAGCAAGGCCACGCCCCUCCCACUGGCAGAUCGAAGUUCCCCUCCGGCUUGCCUCGCCGCCGUCGUGCAGCACGCGCCCCACGCCCCUGCUGUCAACAGUAGCCUCCCGCGCGCCCCUCGCCGGUGCUGCCCACCCUCCUGUCGAAACAAAUAUGUCCAGUGCUGUAGGCCUUUGCAGCUCAGCGAGUGUCCCCACCCCCACUGGUUGUAGCACCGCCGGGUGGGCGUUUCCAGCAUCGCCACCAGCCAUCGUCAAUCCCGUCAACUGGUCAACGUUGUCGCUGGUGCAGCACCACCGCCUCGCUUGUGGUUCCAGUGGUCAUCCCGCUCUGAAAAGAAGUUGUUCCAACAAAACAAAUCGCUGGUUUCAAUAGAAUAAAUAGCUGGUUCAAUCCCUUCAAGCAAUAUUAUAGAUCCAGCAAAAAUAAAAAAGACGGGUGGUAGCACAAAUCAAAGACAGUGGAAGCAAAAAACAAAACGAUGGUAGCAAAAUUUGGGAGUGAUUCCAGCAAGAAGAUGGCUCCGGCAAAACAAAUCAAAAAUAAGGUUGUAGCAAAAAAUGAAGACGGUGGUAGCAAAAUUCAAAGACCAUGUGGCAAAAAAUAGAGUGGUUCCAGCAAAAGGAUGGAUCCAGCAAAAAAAUCAAAAACAGGGAUGAUAGCAAAAACUAAGACGGCAGUAGCAAAAAUAAAAAACCGUGGUAGCAAAACUUGGAAUCGUUCCAGCAUAUAGAUGGAUCUAGCAAAAAAAUCAAAAGACAAGGGAUGCAACGGUUGUAGCAAAAAACAAAACCAUGGUAGCAAAAUUUGGGAGCGGUUCCAGCAAAAAGCACUCUAAAAUGUGGAUCGUAGCAAAAAAAUGUUGCUGAUUCCAGCAAAAAUAGUAACCGGAUGUAGCAAAAAAUGUCGCCGACUGCAGCUCCCGCCAAGGCCGUUUCCAGCAUCUCGUCCGCUAGUCCACGGUGUAGCCGCCGUUCCAGCGCAGGUGGAGGCGCGUCGCUCACCGGAGCAAAAUGGGGGCAGGUGGAGGCGAGGCGCUCGCCGUAGCAGCGCGGUGGGAGGUGGAUGCGGCUGCUCGCUGGAGCAACGCGGUGGGAGGUGGAUGCGGCCGCUUGCCAGAGCAGCACGGCGCAGGUGGGUGUGGUGCUCGCCGGAGCAGCGCGGGGCAGGUGGAUCCAUGGAUGGCGGACAUCGCCGGAUUACAGCAGAAUCGUAUUUGAUUUGGGGAGGACUGAGCGAAGGGGAUAAGGUAACAAGCACGGUUUUGG
RNAcentral lists this long non-coding RNA (53408 nucleotides) under Triticum aestivum (bread wheat). Its description in RNAcentral is "long non-coding RNA (TAES_LNC001649)". Lineage: Eukaryota; Viridiplantae; Streptophyta; Magnoliopsida; Poales; Poaceae. The record is from RNAcentral.